CUGGCAGCAUCAUUUGGAAUAAAUGAAACUACCUUCGACAGGCUUGUGAAUCAACAACGCGAAUCGGUUAUCUUAGAAUGCACCUCCUGCGCAGAGGAAGAAUGGAGGAUAAUGGAGGAAGAGAUUGAGAGGGAAAGAGAGGAGGCAAGGCAGAGGGAAGAGGAGGCAAGGAAGAGGGAUGAAGAGAGGAAAAGACAGGAAGAGGAAGCUGAGACGAGAGAAGAGGAGGAGGCAGCUAGGGAGAGAGCAGAGGAGGAAAGGAAGAAGAGAGAGCAAGAAGAAGAGGAAGAGGCGGCACGGAGAAAGAGAGAGGAAGAGGCAGCACGAGAAAGGAGGGAACAAGAGGAAAGAGAACAAGAAGCAGCACAGAUGGAAGAGAAAGAAAGGGAAGCAGCUAAGCGAGAGGAAGAAGAAGCAGCACAAAGAAGACAAGAAGAAGCUGGCCAGGGAGAAGGAGGGCGCCCACACGAAGGGGGCAGGGAAGCACGGCCGCCGGAGGAAGACGGAAGAGGAGGAGUAGGAGCCAGGCAGGAGGAGGAAACUGCAAAGCAACAAGAAAAAGAAAUGGGACAAGAGGAGGAGCAGGGCAAUGGCCAAGGAUGGGGAAGAAGAAUCCUUAAAAAUGCUUCUUGACUGUGUCUAGUAAUGCUCAAAAGUAGACGUUUCCAGUGAGCAUAAAGCUGAAUAAGCAGUUUUGUUUCAGUCUUUGCUUUAUUUUGUGUUUGCUUGUGAAAUACCUUCAGUUGAGAGCUCCAUUAGCGCAUGGUGAAGUCCUUUAAAAGCCAGCUUAUUGAAUUCCUACGAAUGAAUGACUCCAAUUAAUUCCUGCGAUUGAUCUAUCUUAGAACUGCUUGAGCAAGAGCCAAAACUCAGCCAGGUUUUCUCACAUCAUGGACAGGAAUCCUAAACUCGAGCAAUAAAGGAGUUUUCCAUACCUACUUUUCUUACUUUUUGAUGGAUUGCAAGAGAGGAAUAUGUCUCACAAUGAACAAUGGACGACGUAAACGGGUCCUCAAAUAGCCCAAAAAGAUGAAAAAAAAAAAAAAGGACAACGCUUGAAUACCCCCACAGAAAGCAUUUUCAAGCUACAAUAGCACGCAGAAAUGAUUUUGUAAACAUUCUCAGACUAUUAAUACUCAAUUAGAUAUCAGGGACGACCUCUGGGUUCAACGGCAGCUCAAAAAGCUAGGAAACUACUAUCCAUAUCUUACAACUGUAACGGAACACCUUCAUACGUAUCAAAUUUAGUAUCAAAUUUGCAAAAGAAGAGGGAGAAAGGGGGUGAGGAAAUCUGGAAAAUCUCGAAAGCUUUGUAAAGAGAAUAAACACCACGUAUUCAAAGGCCAGAAUGAGGAAAGGACUGUAUAAAGUCAAAUGUAAGAAUUGUAAAAUCUAUGUUUCAGUCGAGCCUGACAAGUCAGAGACAUACGAAACAACCACCGUAAUGUCAUCAAGUUUUCCACCAUAAUAAGAGAAUCCAAUCUCUUGUGCUGCAGUAGAAAAUGGAGUUUGCCUUUCCCUGUCCUGCGCUCGGUGGCGCGCCAAAGCUGCAACUUUUUGUGCUGUCAACUCAGGGGUGAAACCCGAUGUCACUGCUGCACCAACAAUUGUAGUUAUUUCACGUUUAUACAAGUUAUCAAAUAGCCCAUCUGUUCCGGCAACAAUGACAUCUCCCGGUAAAACUGAAAUCUUGAAAACCUGGCCAAAAUAUUUAAAUCUCAUUUAGGAGGACUCCUGUCGGUGAAACACUAUUAGCGUGAACAAUUGAGAUGAUAUUCUUCUCGAGACAUUCUUGAUUAUAAAAGCACCAUGUAUACAAAUUCACUUGCACAAAAGAUCAGUAAGGAGUGUUCCACUAAAUUACCUGACCGGAACUUGGAAGGUCACCCUUAUUUCCUCUUUCCAGUUGAUAGGGAAAAUUGAAUCCAUGCUGCUGGACUGGAGACUCAAAGGUGGUGCUGCCAUCUCUGACCACAAUAAAUCCACUGUCUCCAAGAUUUAUGGCAUGCAGAAACUGUGGAAGAGAACAAAUAUGCACAGAUGACCAUCAGAGGCAUCAAAACUCUUCUCAAGUUCAAAGAGGGAAAAAAUUUGAAGUCUAUGCAACCUCCAGUACAACAAACUAGUGUCUUAAAGAAUCAUUGGCUUUUUCAUGAUCGCUUUAGGCUGUAAUGUGACAGCCAAACCAAUCCAAUAUGCAAGAGUAGGUCUGAAGAAUUGAACAAACACUAAUCUACCAAAAGGCAUCCAAAGAAAGAAUGAAGAAAAUCAGGAGAUUAAGUGUAGUUAGGCAAACUAAUGGCACAGUGUUCUUUCACUUUUACUCAAGUACAAUAGCAUAACCUUCGCCUUUACAGUUAUUUUCUGCAACCUCCAAUAUUCUAGUGGUCCUCAGAGAGAAUCUCCUUUCUACUCAGAUAUGAGGUUUGGUCUCUUGCAGCAAAAAGUACCAGUGCCAAACCGUCAUCGCCUCCAUCUUAUAGGAAAGAUAAAACAGAAUUUCCCAUCUUUGCCUCCUCUAUGUGCAUGGCUCUGUGCAUGUCUUUUACAAAUAUAACACGAGUCGUCAUCCAUAAACACCACAUAAAUGUACUUCACGGUUUUACGCUUUCUACACUUAGAACAGGAAAAAAAAACACACCAAGAAUGACAUAUUCUGCCUAAAUUUGCCAAAACAUCAGGAUAAUUCCCCUCUAAUGAACCCCAACAAAUACAUUCAUCUACAAAUCACCAAUCAAAAGUGGUCACAUCCAAGUUGAAAAUGUUACUACAGCCAUUUUGUUGCAUGCAAGUUGGAGCAAUAUUUUCAAAAGACGUAGUACAAGAAGAAUAUGUGUGCAUGGACAAAUAUUUUUGGUAUGAAGUUAGUAAGACCUGGUCUUUUAGCACAAUGAUGCAGGCUGUUGAGGAACCCACAGCAUUUGUUUCCGAGUGUGCUUUCUCCAAUACGCGAGCGGGAUCAAUAAACUCCCCGGGCUCAUUUUUAAUAGCAUCCAUCGAGUUAGACAUGAGUUCACAAGCAUAUUCUCCAGCAUUAAUCCCAACCUCCGCCCAACCACCAACUCCAUCUGCCACACCAAUUGCUUGCUCAUCCGAACAGAUGAAAUGAGCAUCCUCUCCACCUGUUUUUUCUUUAUCAGGAUGGGGUAGGUAGCAUGAUCCAGAGUGUAGCUUCAGUGUUCUGUUGCUUAGAGAUCUUCUGGAUUCAGCAGUAGUAGCCAACCAACAUUAAGGAAAAUCACAAUACUAUAUCGCCAAACUUAUUAAUGCUCAAUGCGACUCCCACAAACAUAGAACUGUGCAUCUCUAAUAAACUUAAAUUGAAAAACCCAUUCAGUAGAAAAUUGAAGCAGGAAAUGAUCAUCUUUGACGCAACGACUCACUGCUAAGAUUUAUUUACCUAGUAAGUAAAAAGACAAAAUUCAAGCAAUACCUUGUUUUGAUUAAAAAACGUAAAUAUUUGAUACUCAAACCAGAAUAACGAAUCUCUACAAUAGCCACAAUAUGUGAAUAUGCAAAUCUUUGACUUUUCAACACCAUGACGAAAGACAAUGUUCUUUAGCAAUCAGAGAGAAAGUUUCCCUUUAAAACACGCUAAAAAUCAGAAACCAUACAAAAGAGGAGAAAAAUCCAUUCCAUUUUGAGAAACGAUGGACACCCAAGUUCGACAACUAUGUCUUUUCACAAGUCACCACUUUCAUCGUCCUUGAAUUUCCAUGAGUUAUAUGAGUUGGAAGAAGCAUAAAUAUAAAAAAUCCUGUAAACACUGAGUCGAGGAUCACAUUAUUUUUUUAUUAAGUUCCGGCUUGCUGACAAGCUAAGCUCAACUAAAGAAUUCUCUGUCUGACAGACAAACUGCUAAUGUUGAAGGGUCACCAAAUACGAUCUUGACUGUUGGAAUAUAGGACCUGGAUUAUUGUUGAAUAUCCAAACUAAUUUUAAGGUCAAUACAUCGGGACCAUACACGACUGGCCAUCUGGUUUUAUUUAAUACAACACCUUGGCUAAAUUUGAAGUUAAAUGAACGCACCAAAAAAUCUUCAGGGAACAACUACCUUCUGGAUUAACAAAUGUAUUUAACUAUAAUCAAUUUUGAACCAUUGCACAUAAUAAAGAAACUGCAUACAAGAAAAUUUUUUUGUUUCUAAAUUAACAAAUAGAUGGAAACAACUUGAUAAGACAACACAAAAGGUUAGAGCAUUUACUGGUCUGGUGGUAUGGCAAGACUUGAUAGCUGUUCGUCGAAUGAGGUUCCGUUGCAGAGUACAUCAGAUGCAGCCCCAGUCGAACAACAUGGUGAUGAUGAGGAACUGCAGCUUCUAAACCACGACCCAACAAGGGCAUUCGAGCUGCGACAUUUCCAUCUACCUCCAAGCACAGAAAAAGCACGAUCAGUGCAGCGGCUAUUGGUUACCCCAUUUCUCAAACUCAGACUAGCUUUUUGACAAUUAUCGAGACCUCUAUUGCCAAAAUACAUCACAACAGGUUUAGCAAAACUCGAAACAUUCCCACAACCAGAGAUAAAAGUAUCCAUAACAAGGUCUCCAGGGGCAGCCGUUGAACUAGAAACAGCCAUGGCUCCACUAAAAUUCCCAAAAGCUUGAGAAGACGGGCGCGAUAGAACACCACCACCACCACGUGUCUGAGAAAAUGCCUCAACGGCAGAAUGCUUGGUUCUACUGUAAGUAUAACAAGCCCCAAAUUUCUGACUUCUUUUUACUGUCAAAGAUUCUAUUAACUUGUGGGUUGGUGCUAGUUUCACUCUUAAACCUCUCUGAACCCCAAAACAAAAGGCAGAAUUCGGUUUGGGAAGCAACCCUGAUGACAUAUCCUAUUCCCCCUCAGCUCAACCCAAUUCGUCCAUUAGAUGAACUCCAAACUUAGCAAGUCUGCAUUGUGAGCCAAUCCCCUUUAAUCCUGAGAAACUUCACAUCCUACUCAACGAUAACUUUGCCUGCCCAAGCAGCAAUUUCCUGCUACCUGAUUACAAAAACAAUUGCAUUAUAAAAAGAUUCAUUCGUUUUUCCUUUUCUUCUACUUUCGCAAGAUGAAAAGAAAGAUACAAGGGAAAAAGGAAGGCAUGGGGAACCCGGGAUUUCGGCAAUUCGGGCUUGACUAGGGGCGGAUCGAGAAUGCUGUCUGGGGACAAAAUUAUCGUUGGAGAGAAGAACAGCCGAAGUCCACCGCUUAAUGGGGGCUAAUAUCGCAGUCAGUCUCAAAUUUCUAAGUUUGACGCCCACCAGCCCAAAAAACUGAAAAACGGACAAAAACGAAGCGGUGGCUCAGAAUGAAGCGGAAAUUGGCGUUUGGAUUUAUAUUGGUGAGUUUUUUGGGAAAUAUUAGUGUAGCGUGUACGUAAGAUAAAAAAAAAAAGUAAUUAAAAAAUAGGUAUAUAAAAAUAUUUACAAAAAAUCACAAUCCAAAUAAGGCGUAGUUUUUUAGUCCCUUUUUAAUAAGAAAUCAUGUCAAUUUUGUCCUAUCAAGUUUUAUUUUGAUUAAUGUAUCACAGCAUAGUUUAUAACACUGGAAGAAGAUGACCUUUUAACACUUUGACACUCAUAAAAAUUGAUAGUAAUUUUUGAAAAAAAAAAAAAGAAUUAAGAGGCAGUGUGUGAAUUGUCUAAAAUACAGCAAGUAUAUUAUUAUAGGGACCAGGGAGAGCGCAAAAUUGGAACUAGAGAUGUUAGUGAGCCGAGCUACUCGCGAGUAGCUCGCGAGUAGCUCGGUCAACAACUCGACUCGAACUCGAGUUGUUUCGAGUAGCUCGACUCCACAUCGAGUCGAGUUUCGAGUCUCAUUUUUCGGGCUCGUGGCUCGUCGAGUAGCUCGACGAGCCGCGUUAAAUAUUUAUAAUUUAAAUAAUAUAUAUUUAUUAUAAUUAUAAAAUGACUAUUAUGGAUAUAGAUUUUAUAGAAUUUACAAUAUACCCUUCUUUAUAAUAAAAUCCUAUAAUGGCAAAAAAAUAAUAACAUAAUUAUAAAAAACACUAAAAAGAAAAAAUGUCUACAAAAAAAAGGAAGAAAAGACUUUCUUCCUUCUCUGUGCGACUUUCUUCUCCGUUCGAAGAAAGCCUAGCAAAAAAAUUCACUUUACCAGCCGGCAGCCACUGACUCUGACUGAUUUAGAUCUACACCCUCACUCCGUUCGUCGCCGACGCCGUUGCUCGCCGCAUCUGUGAGACUCCAUCUCCAUCGCCAUCGCCAUCGCCAUCGCCAUCGCCUUAACAAGUCCCAAGUCCCAAGUCCGAAAUCGAAGCUGCUCUCUGCCUCUCCGGCCUCCGCCAGUCCGCCGCGCUCUACGUCUCCUGUCGGCUGUGUCCUGCCGUGCUGGUUCAUCGCUGCCGAGUGUCGAAGACGAAGCACCAAGAUCUCACUAGUUCAUCGCUGGUUCAUCACUGCUCAUCUCUGGCUCACUUAGGUAAGUGCUCCUCUGUUUUUGGCUCUGUGUCUCUGGCAUUAAAAUGGGCCAAGAUCGACUAGGAAACUUGUUAUCCUGAAUUGAUAAGGGGACGAAAUCUCUCAGAGACCCAGAGAUUUCAAUCCAUCUGCCAUUAUCCUAUUACUCUCGGCCAAAAAAAAUAAAAAAAUAAAAAAAAGAACCGACGGGAAACAGAGGAGGAGCAGCCGCCACUGCUGGGUCGUCGGAGUUUGCCCAUACCGCCACGGUUAUCCAAUUCUUCAUUUAAAACGCCCCGUGAGCUAUUCUUUGCUUUCCAACUUGAAUUUCAAUUUGAUAUUUUCUGGAACCAUCUUUUGCUAGUUUCUUCUUGAAUUUUUUUAAUCUGGAGUUAUUUACAAUUUUCAUGGCUGAGUAUACUCUUUGGCCUUUGUUGGACCGAAAUCGUAUUUUGAUUACAAGUUUUGGGUCUUUCUUUCGUUGGAAUUUGAUGGGAUCUUUAGAAUUUUCGUAUGCCCUUCUACUGUUUGAAGAAAUGCCUAAACGAGAACUUGAAAUAAAGAGACAAAUCUCUUGUAUCUGUGCUCGUGGGGAGCAGCUCCUAUCAGUCCAACGCUGAUAGGAGCCCGUGGGUUCGGCGGAAAUCCAUCAAAGACCCAGAGAUUUGCUAGUAAUAGUAUACGUCAUAUGAGGCAUCUGCGGAUUUCUAAGUAUUUCAAUUCUGUGGGCGCUCAAGAAGCGCCAAAUACCUGAUGCAGAUUUAGGAAUCGUGCAAUAUUUAUGUAAAUAAUUUUAAUUUGUGCUCUUAAAAAAAUCAGACUUAGGAUAAUGGUGUGCAAAAAUAUAGCUAAGACUGACUUCAAAAUCCUUUGUGUUAUGAUUUGACCAACUAGGUGUGAUGAAUUUGCCCAAAUUCGGAUUUGAGCAACCUCACAUGCUUGUUUGAGAUAAUUGUUUGUCUCUCAAUUUGGUGGCUCAGCUCAUGUUUUGCUGAGUUUUGAAAUUUUGUGGGGAAUUUUGGUUAGUUUGGGUACUUUUGCAGCACACUUAGGAACUAUGAUUCGAGGAAUUAGAAUCAUCCAUAUUUUCUGCUCUUGUGGGCACCUACCGUUGGUGGGUAAUUGCUGAAUUUGAAAGUUUCAUGUCAAGCAAUCCAGCAAGUGGGAAUUUCCCUUUUUUCUUCUCUAUUCUUCUUUGUGGUGAAUCUGAUUUUUAGGGGUGUUAAAGAUGCUAACUGUGGGAGGUAGAAUGUGGAUACUUUUGGUUGUAUUUGUAUUGAUGAAUCAUGGAUUUUAUGCCUCAUUUACUCCAGCUGAUAGCUACUUGCUUGCCUUUGAAUCUUCCCAAAACGUCACCUUUGAUCUGGUUUUUUGGUCAAAUCGAGUCAAAAAGCUUGAUAAGACUCGACUUGAUAAGGCUCGAUUAAAGAUCGAGCCUUAUCGAGUCGAGUCUCGAGCCUAAAUGAAAUUCUUCGAGUCGAUCUUCGAGUAUCGAUUUUCGGGCUCGAUCGAGCUCGAGUCGAGCUCGAGCUUCUGUGUGUAUGAGUCGAGUCGAGCUCGAGUAUAGCGAUACUCGAGCUCGACUUGACUCGAUUACAUCCCUAAUUGGAACACAAACGUGCAUUAUUAAUCCCCUGCUUGCAAAAUUGUCUUUUUGUUGUUCAUCCACAAUUCCCGACUUUUGUGUCCCCCAACCCAACUUUUGGACGACAUUAGGGGCUUAUUUGUGCAUGCAAAACUCGUGCACCAAGAUGCUAUCACUGUGCAAUAUAACAACAGGCCCUGUGACCUGUAACGCAAUUCCAAUUGUUUGAUCCUGCACCAGCGUGAUUGUGUGUUUUAACAGUAGUGCCGUUUGUAUUGUGAUUUUUAAAAAUUUUUAUAAAGAAAAAUAUUGUAACGAUUGGAUUUAAUAUAUAUGACUUAAAAUAAUAAUUAAAAAAUAUUAUAUAUAUAUAUAUUUUUUUUUUCUGUAAAAAAUCACAAUUCAAGCAAGGGCGCUUGACGUUUACAGUAAAACGUAAAAGUUUUACCGUGGAUGUACGAGAUAAAUGUUUUUUACACGCCACGUCGUGUUAGAAGCACGAAGAAGCGGAGGCUUUGGCUUGCCAUGAAUUGUUCGCAUGGAGUAGAGUAGAGUGGGUGACACGUUCCCUAUACUAUAGAGGCCGUGCUACUUGGCACGGAAUUCUGGAAUAAGUACAAAAGUUAAACCCCACUUUACUGCUCUGUGAAGGCCAAUAAUGUCUCUCACUCAUCCUGAUUACUCCUUUUACUCAAUCCGUCUGCUCUGCACAAAAACAACCACAAAAUUACCAUAUUUGUUUUAAUCAGGGCCCCCAUUUCUAUUUCACCGUUCCUAGCUAGAGCGGUUAAUCGAACCGAAUAGCUCGCGAGCCAAGUUCGAUCCGAUUCGAUAAGGGGUUCAACUCAGUUAGUUUAAUGAGAGAAAGGAGCCGAUCUCGAAUUCAACUUUACGCUUAUUUAAUAGAUGAGCCGAGUUAUGCUCGACUCGUUUAGGCUCGAAUGGUAAGAUCAUUUCAUUGUGUAUUUGAUAUUUUUACCUAAUUCAUUCUCUCAUUUCUAGUCCUACUUUUUUCUUUCCUCUUUCGGUCUUGCCCCUAAUAUUCAUCUCCCAAACGAGCUUGAGCUUAAUAAACUCGGCUCGAUUUUGAACUCGAGUUCGACUCGUUUGAACUUAAUAAACUCGGCUCAAUUUUAAAUUCGAGUUCGAGGUCGAACUCGAGUUUUCGAUCGAGUAUACCGAGUCGAUCUCGAACAGCUUGUGAAACUUGAAUUACUAAUCGAGCAAACUCGAACUAGCUCAAUUAGAGAUUCGAGUCAAACUCGAUUAUCGUGUGCUCGAAUUUGACUCGAUUAACAGCUCUACUCCUAGCUAUCUCUUACGUUUUUUUUUUUUUUACACCCGAUCCACAAGAAGACUAUAUAGUGUUGAGUCAAAAUAGUUAUCCGUCCUACAAAUGAGAUACUAGUUCAAGCUUGGAGUGCAGAAGCAAUUUCUUAUUCGUAGUCUCUAGCAAGUAAUGGAAAUAUGUUGAUGCUUCCACCCCCAAUGUACAAAAAUAAUUACUCCCCGGUUUUCUGGUUGAACCGUGUAGAAGAAAAAAUUAUUGGAGCUCAUGGGUAUGAUGUCAUAAAUAAACCAGUAGUAAUUAAUCUAAUCUGAUCUUGGAUUAUCAGUAACCGUACCGAAUACUGGACUAUUCACCAACAUUGUGGCCGAUUGCUUUUACUCCUAUCUUCUACUAUUAUACUCACAAAAGUGCCACCAUUUUAACAUCAUCUUACAUAUAUAAUCAAAAGUGUUUAAAAGGUCUCAGGACCUUUGGCUACUUAUAUUUCACGGAAAGGGUCUCUUCAACCUUGACAGGCAGCAGAACAAAUAUUAAAACCGACUCACUCUCACUGCCUAUACUGUAAUGCUUAAUUUUUUAAGGAGCAUCGCCGGGCCAAGAGUCGCUAUUUGCUGCUGCAAGACUAAUUGAUAAUAAAGCUCGAUGCCACCUCACAAAUCACACUUCCGAAAUGUCAACUAUGAAAGCCUUGACUUUCAUGAAAACAAAUGUUCUAAUUGUUGUCAUGAUCCCCUUCCCAUAUCUUUACCAGAGUACUCGCCGCUGCCACCAAAUGUUGCCGCUGCAGCAGCAGCAACAUCAAGGCCGCCACCAAUUGAUGUCAUUAAGGCAGAAAAUCCGCCUGAUGGGCCUCCACCAGCUGCCAUCCCCAAUCCAAGAAGGUCAAGGGUAGUAUGCUUGGGACCGAAUACAGAUGGAGUCCCCAACAUCAGUUCCUUCAAGCUAGACCCACCGUCACAUGGCAGCCCAAGUCCCAGGCCUGCUGCCAAUGAUGCACUAUCAGACUCAAUUCCCCUCCCACUCCACUCCUGCUGCCCGCUGGAAGCUGACGCCGAAGAAACAAUCCCGAACCCUCUCAGGAGUGAAGCAUUAGUUGCUGCUGCUCCAAUCUGAGCAGCUUUUUGCAGUAAUGCUGUUGCAGACAUGGCAGGUUGUGGUGCAGGCGCAUACUGCCUACGCUCUUGCCCUGCUGUUCCAAAAAUUGAUGAACCGUGACUUGUAGCAAGACAGAGGGAUAUGGGUUCCGUGGAAGAAGACGCUACGACUUCAGAUGCAUUCUCAGGACGAGCCACAGCUCUAAACAAGUCAGUAAAUUCAGGUGUUUGAGAUUGCAAGCUUGCCGAUGUUGUUGAUGAGGCAAAUAAGCUUGCAAACACGCUGCUGCUAGUACUUCCAUGACUGCUUGAGCUGCUGCUGCUACCACAGCUGCCGGUUAAGCUGGUCACAACAGAUGUUUCCUCUAGAAUCUGAGGUGGAGCGGGACUUUGCUUGGGAUUUUCAGGUCCCUCUGUUGAAUUAAACAAAUCAUAUAAAAAGAAUGAGCGAAAAAAAAAAAAGAGCAUUCCCUGGUAAAGAAGCAAGAAAUGACGAAAGUAUAACCUUUCUUAUUAAAGAGCUUUGUAUAUGAUUAAAAGAGAUUCAAUAAUACCCUCCUUUCUCGGCAUCAACUUAACUUUUAGCUUUUGGCUGGAUCUCUGUCCAUUCUUUACCAAAAGAUUGCUUAGAUUCAAUCUCAAUUUUUUAUUCAUAGUUGAGAUAUGGUUUUCCCCAAUUGAAGUUAGUAGUAGUUCAUCCUUGUUCUUAUAGCAAGGGAGUAAAUCUAGUCAACCAUAGAUGCAGAUAACAACAAAGAAGGGGAACAGACAAAAACAACUAGACUCCAAGAUUAAUAGACAAAGAAACAACAACAACAGUUUGCUUUUCUUUUCUUUUUUCCCGGCAAAAGUAUGAUAUACAUCCGACAAAACCCGGACUACAGAGCUACAUAACUACCCAUCAUCAGCAGUAGGUGGAGGAGGCUGAGCUACAAAUUGGCAGUUUCGAGCAGAAAUACCUGGAUUUUGAACAGGCAAAGCUGAAGAUACUAAAGCAGCUGGUGGAGGAGGCUGAACUGCUACCGAAGGUGGUGGUGAUGAGGAUGCAAGUGUUUGAAGCUUCGGCUCCUCAUCAUCAGCAGUAGGAGCUGGAAGUGCCUCAACUGUCUGUGCUUUUGCACUCUCCUCAGCUAAUGCAUCACAAAAAGCUCUGUGUGUAAUAAAGCUAUCCCUCCUGCAAUCAUCAAACAGACAUUAACAUCAUUCUUGAAAAUAAAAAGAAAAACAGAGGGAAAAAUUUAUCUUAACAAGGUAGGGAAAAGAUCAGUUAACCUUGAAAACAGAGUCCCACAAUCACAUUUAUAUUCUCUAGUUCCACAAAUCUUUGAAUGAGCUUUCCAAUCAGACUGAACAGCAUAUUUCUUCGAACACUUGUCGCAUUUCCACUUCUUUUCGCCAUGUUUUCUGCAGAAAUGCUUCUUAAUUCCGGUCAAAUCGCCCAAUGCUCGAGAAGGAUCGUGGUGAACACAGGUGAGUUCAGGGCAUACAUAAACUCUCUUCUUGACCUCUUUGCUCGAUCUCUGCCUAAGUUUCCAAGGCAAAUUAUGUCCUCUCCGAUGCAGCUGCAAAUUCUGGUCCCUUUGGAACCCUUUAUUGCAAAUUUCGCACACAAAUCUAUUUGUUGCCAACAGAGUCUUUGGUGACAAAGCAAUCACCUCUGCAUCCGGAUCUAAGAGAAAAACAAAAUGAAACUUCAGCAAUAAGCAAAAACAGAUUACCAGUCUUUUUAUGUUUUCCUUUCUGGCUCUUUUACCUGGCAUGCCUGGGAGAUUUCGUUUUUUCUUGGCAGAUGAUGUAGGAGGGGCUGCCGCUUGAUUGCCUGAAGAAGAAGCACUGGCAUCACCGGAAGCGGUAGAAUCAUUCAUGACAGAAGAGUUAUCCAUAUCGGCAGGCAUGGAAAGAGUACUGGAGUUGUUAAAAGGGAUUUUUAGACUGCUAGAAAGGGAAAUUUUGGGGCAUUUAUGCUGCAAAAAAACUUUUAGGAUAUAAAGCUCCUUUUUCGUUUCUACGGCUUAUGGUCACAGCACUCAGCUCUCAGACUUGUGUAUCUAUCCACCAGUCAAUCUAAUUUAAAAAAAAAAAAAUAUAUCGCCAACUACCAACUACGAUCAACUUUUGACCACGACCAGAUCAGAAAUGAGCUAAUUAGCAAAUCCCACUUCACAGAACCACCACCUGUAAGCUCUGCAGAUAACGGAAUCAGAGUCGCCAGAGAAUUAUCGCCGGUGAGCACGACAUGAGUAUCUUCAGCUAAAAGAAGAUGAAAUUUUGCUAUACUUCAUGAGGUUUCUAGAACAUGGACCUUAAAUCUAGGUAGCUGUUCACCUGUCUAAUAACCAGAAAACAUUUCAGCACCGAGCUUCUUGAAUUUCCGGUGACGUUUUCUCCGAUGCAAAUGCCGGAAAUUGGGCUGGGGAGCAGUACUUUCAAGAAGACGGCUCAGAAAACUAGAUGAAAGAGGAAAUUUAGGAGGGCAGAGAGAGAGAGAGAAGAAGAUGUGAAAGUCUUCUUGUGUUUGGUCUACAGUCGUGUAAUGUUUAGAUCAUAGAACAGGUAGCCGAUGUGGAUUUGAUUAAAGAAGAGCUAAUAAAUUAAUUAGAAAUCAUCAACAGUAAAUGGGGAGAAGGGCGAAAGAUAAUGACGGGUUAAGUUUUGUGGCUCACUUUUUAACCACGGUUUCAUUGUUGACCUGACCAUACGGUGUGGUAGAGUUUCAGUUAAAAACAGAAGAGUUUAAUGAUGGUGCAGAGUGCAGACUGCAACUCUGCUAGUGCUGCUCAAAAUGUUUUCGACGUGGGAUUGGGACACGUACGUUUAGCUUUCGAUAAAAAUUAGUGAUUAUUGUAGUGUUUUUUCAGAAAAAAAAAAAGAAAGCUAUAAUAAUAUAUUUCAGAAAUAUUUUAUUAGUGUAGUUUACAGAAAUAAUAAUAAUUAUAUUAGUGUAUAUUAAAUUAUGCAAAAACGUAUGGUAACCUUACAGUCAACCGCACCGAAACUUCAACCGCAUGUGUCUAGACCCUUUUGAUUUUUCUUGCCAUGGCCUUUACAAUUUUGACUUUCAAUUAUAAAUUUCUGCACAAUUUUAUUUUGUGAUAUAUAUAAUUUGUAUUAAAUUUUUAAAAUAAAUUUUGGUAAUUGUUUGUUUCAAUUAGGCUUUACGGUGUAUAUUCAAAGACUCUCGUUUAUUUAUUAAAAUUUAUUUACUUACAACAUCAAUACGUUUCUCAAUCAUUUUUUUUUAUCAAUGCAUUUUUUUAUGUACGAUGAAUAUAAAUGCAUUGUGGUCUCUAAGUUGUAGAGCGAGCAAAAGGGUUUUAUGCAGUAGCAAUUAUGUGCAAUUUGCACCGUUGAGUGCAACCUAUUGUUGAUUAAGAAAUCAGGACAUGUGUCAUAAGUAAUCAUCCCAUCCUCUUACUGAUUUAUGCCCUGCGUCCAGUCUCCAUUUCACACAUCCCCUGUAGCACCAAACGAACACAUGAACCUGGCUCUCUAAUUCCAUCUCGUAAUAAGUACUAAUAAGUUGCUUUAUUAAGACUAAUCGUCUAAUCAUCAUUCACCCUGGAGGUUUUUUUCCCGGUGAAAAAUGCCUUAUCCCACAAGAAAAGCAUCGAUAUCAUUGUUAGACUUUUGAUGAGUGAGACCGUCUUUCAUUCUUUUGCUGCUCAUAUUCUCUCCGUCAAUGCCAAGCUCUUCUAUCUAUAGUGAUAACAUCACGUUCUUUUCUUUAUAUUCUCUCUUCUUCUUUGUUUUUUUUGGUCCUUUAUUUUUCUUUUCCAUGACUUGCACAAGAGAAAAACCGAGCGGGAGAUGGAAUAGGCUGUGGGAAUCAAAUACCGGUUUGGAGAUCAGAGAAAUAAAACUCUCGCCCAUUGGGCAAUGCGUAGUUCUCUACUAUUUGUGAAUUUACCUGAGCAACGAAUACAAUUCACAAGAAGCAAGAUUAUGAAUUUAGCUGAAAUGAUGCACAAACAGGCCGCCCGCAUAUUUCAUGAAUUAUAGCUAAGCAUAAUCAUCACGUCAUGUUUGAUAGAGAAGAGUUAUUUCACUCAACUUACAAAAACAGAGAUUUUGUCGGAGAGAGAUUGACCAGUUUUUCGUGUUUACUAAACAGAAAACUAAUAAUACUCCUAGCAGAGAUGAAAAGCAAAGGCUAUACAUAGUCUGUCAAUCGAACCUAAUGAGCCGGGCUUUUAUAAACUCUAAGCUCAGCUCAUUUUAUUUGAAAUAUUUUCGAGUUUUCGGUUCAUAAAUGUGAAAUUCAUACUCAACUCGCAUAAUAUUCGGAUUGUGAGUCUUAAUCGGGUUUAGUCAAACCUCACUUAUUACUCCUUAAUUUUCUUAAUAUAAUUACUAUAACUAUUAAAUUGUAAAACUAAUUUAACAUUUACAAGACUAUAAUAUUAAAACUAAACAUGAACAAAUAAUAAUAUUUCUUAAAAAGUGUAUAAACCAAAUUUUUCAACAAUAUUUAUAUUUAAUUCGUUCAGAAUGCAUGAAAAAUAGUAAUUAAACAAUCAAUCAUAAGUCAAUACAUAUUUAAAAGUUGAAACUUUUUUUAUAAUCUUGUGAUUUAAAUCCAAAUAUGCUUGAUGAUUUGUGUUUGUAGACCAAAAAGAAAUCAACCAAUAUUAUGUCAACACAAAAAUUUACUCAAACCAAUAAGAAAAGUUAGAGAUUUAGUUAUGCAUUACUAAUAUUGGUUCUUAAGAAAGCUCCUGGAAGAGUUUUUAGAUUUAUUUUUGUGUUUUGUAAUUUAUAUAUAUUUAGUAUUUAGUAAUAAUAUAUUUGAAUAUAUAAUUAUACAUAAUAUUAAAAUAUAAAUAUUAUAUAUAUAUAGGUAAUUAAAGGGACGGGCCUAUAUCGGGUUUGAACCUAAUAUAGCACAAACUUGGCUCAUAUUUAAUUCGGACCUAAUUUUUUAGGCUCAAGCUCAGACUAAUUCACUAAAAUGUCGGGUUCAUCGGGUUUUUUGUUGGGCCAAAUUCGAGUUGACCCAACCCCAUUAAAACAGUCCUAGCUAUACACUUUUAACAGAAGUGUUUUUUGAGUUGAGAAUCGAAAAUAGAUCUAACGAAGUUCAAUUAAGAAACAUUAGGGUCCAAUUAUUGUUUGGAUAUUGGUUUUUCCCAUAAAAUUGUUUACCUUUUUUGUGAAUACAUCUCUCAAUCACUUUUUUAUUUUACAUAUAUCAAAUUAUUGCAAUACAAUUUUUUUAAAAAAUUAUAAAAAUAGCAAUCCAAACGGGAGGGCGGCCCCAUAGUUUUAGUACAAUUAUCAAUUAUACUAAAGUACACUUUCAAUAAUUAUGCCAAAAGAUAGUAAAAAAUAUAUGUAUAGUGAUCUUUUUGUUCCUUUACUUAUUGUUCUUAAUAAAAGAAUUGAAAUCAUUGUCAAAAAAGAUGAGGGACGAUCAUAUAAAUUUGAGUGACCUAACACUCUAGUUCAAUUAAAAUUUAACUAAGCAUACUCUUAGUAGUGCUAAUGGUAUCAUAUACCACGUUUUGAUACUUUACCUGUAAGUCUUUCUUGCCUUCAUUCAGCUACCUGGGCUAAAACAUCGUCUAGCUAAUAUCGACCGGGUCUUUGCGUUCACAUCACUAGCAUUGCUUGAUGCAACUGGUAGCUAAGUUCCAUCGAUUUGAAUCGGACCGUGACCGACCUUAUCCUUUUCUUGUCGGGCAAAAAGAUGUUGAAAAUAACGCCAGAGGAAUCGUACCUUAUUUGUGCUACUUUGUUUAGCAUUUAGGAAAAAUAGGUUAAAAUGUUUUCCACAUUUCACCAAUUAAAUUUUUUUACGUAUCCUACAAAAUCAAGUUGAUAAAAUGUAAUUACAACUUAAAUUUCGACUACUUUUUUAUCACCAAAUCCAUCAUGUGACUCACACAACAUAUGGUCUUAUUGUUUUAGGAAUAACAAAAGGUUAGAUCCUAUUUGUAGUUAAACAAAUGAUUUGAUUCAUAUUCAUUUUUAUUUCUAAAAAAAUUAGGAUCCAACAUGGAUCAUAUUCAUUUUUUCCCUAAAAAAGGGAUGUGAUUCAAUCCAUAUUGACUUUUGCCAUUAAAAAAAAGUAGGAUGUUAUCACAUUGUAUAUAAAAAAAUAACUGCAUGUAGGUCGCAUGAUGAUUUUAGACUAAAAAGUGAUAAAAAAAACUUAGGUUGGGAUCUAAUUUUGCUAACUUGAAUUCGUAAGAGACGUAAAGUUAAUAUUUUAAAUGUAAAGAAUGAAAAAAUUAAUGUAAUAAAAUAUAAGGGAUGUUUUGAAUAAAUUUUCCUAGCAUUUUCUUAUACUAAAUUUGCUUCAUCAAACCAAAAUAAGCUAGAAUUAGAGAAAUGAAGACCAACGACUGUGUAUAAAGAUGUGGCUCAAAAAAAAAAGGGAAGAGCUUGCUGCUUGUCAUCCGGAAAUAAGUUAGGUAUAAUUUUGCCGAGUUUAUUUUUGGAUUUUUGCUGUCAUUUCCACCUGAAAUCCCUACCACCAACUAGGGUUGCAAACGAAUCGAGCCGCUCGCGAGUCGAGUUCGAUAUUAAUCGAGCUCGAACUCGAGCUCAGAAUAUUAAGCUCGUUAGCUCGCGAGCUUGAGUAUAUAUAUAUAUAUAUUUUUUUUUAUUUUUAUUUAAUAAUAAAAUUACGUAUAUUAUAUAUAUAUAUAUUUUUAUUUUUUAUUUUCAUAGUGAAAUUACGGAUAUAUUCUUAAUAUUUUAUUAUUUAUUCAGAAAAAAUAUUAUUUUAUUUAUUUUUUUUAAAAUAAAAUAAUUUUUUAUAUUUUUUUCGAGCUCGAGCUCGAGCUCGGCUCGACUUGAUUCGAGUCGAGCUUGAGCUCGAAAAUUGCCAGCUCGUCGAGCUCGAGCUCGAGUUUGGUAAAAUUUAGUCGAGACUCGGCUCGAUUAGCUCAAAACUCGACUCGGUUCGGCUCGUUUGCAGCCCUACCACCAACAACCGUAAAUAAACGCGCACACAUACACUAUCUAAGGGAAACGUACAACUCAACUCAAAAGGCAUGUUGACUUUCAGGCCACACUGAGAACCUUAAGUAGUACAUACACACACCACUCACAAUCGAUGUGGAAUAGAGGAAAAGGAGGAGGAGAAACACCACGACUAUUGCCCAAAGGCUCACUUCAAAAUGUGUUUUUGUACCAUUCUUGAUGUCUGUGUUGAAUUUCAAAAUUCAGAAUGACAAGUUUUUCCCACCUGAAAUCCCUGCCACAAAAUGUGUUUUUCUACUUUUUCCUGAUGCCUAAGUUGAAUUUCAAAAUUCAGGAUGACAAAAAAUUUGUUUUUUUUUUGAUGUCGUAAAAUUGGUUGAAAUUAAGGCCAAGCCUGUUACUGAUUGCUGUUUUGAGGAUACAGUCUAGCUAUUAAUGGUUACAAUUUACAUCUACUAAUCAUUUUCCGAUAACUGGUUUACAUUUUGCCUUACGUUUAUAUAUUUUAUUUCUUCGUUAGUACGUAUUAUUUAGAAGUUCAAAACAUCUACAGUAAAGCUACUUGUAGUGCUUGAUUGUCAUCAUUGUCCAUUACAUUUCCAAUUUUCUUCUAAUUUGACAUUUCGAACAUUCGGCCAAAAAAAAAAAAAAAAAUCACCCUUGAUGUUCUAAUCACUUAUGUCUAUUGUCUAAUUUUUAUUAACAUAUUAAACAACCGUUCUUUUUUUUUUUUUUAAUAAAGAAGAUCAACAGUCCAGCAACAAGGCGUCAAGAUAGAAGAUGGCAACGAUACGAGGUCCGGCGAACUUUGCAACUUUAUAAGACUAGUACAAUAGAGACCUUUUGCUGUUGUUUCAUUGUGAUUCUUUUGCUGAGUUAAUUUGAUGUUUUAGUUUCCUUAACCAAGAUGGCAUGCCAGUAAUUGAUUUGACUUGACAUUCAAUAAAAGGGGUUGGCUGAUCUCAAAAGCUUCAAGGCUUAGAAAGUUUACUUUUAGUUUCAAAGGAUGGAGGACCACCUCAAUAAUCACGAUGCUUCUUCUUCUUUUUCUUUUUUUUUUUUUUUUUUAUAAAUAUAUGUACGUAUAUAAAGUUUUAGCCUCCCAAAAUAAAGAGAAAAGGAUCCCGGCAUACUUUCUUUUUGUUACCUGGAGCCUGGAGGAUAUGCCUGCAGUAGCAUUUCGGCUAUGCAAAAAAGUCAAUGACAAUUCAAGAAAAAAAAAAAGUGCAAUUGCGAAUAUAGGAAUGAUGCAGAUAAUUGAACAUAUGGCAUUUGUUCUAUUCCAGGAUGACAAAGAUCUUUAGGUCCCAAGAAUUUAGAAAUUACACUUCAUUUCCUUAAAGUAUUAAAGAGUUUUAUUUACUAUAUAUUUGUAAAAAAAAAAAAAAAAAAAAGAUUUUGUGCCUGAAAAGCAUCCUAAUUAUCAGAGUUGAAGGAUGGAGUCCUAAUAAACUAAUUAUUAUUAUUAUUAUUAAAAUCAAGAGUAAAGUUAUAAACACGGUAGAGAAGAGAGUUGCAGGUUUUAGACUCGUGGUGGUCAAGAUGAGAAAGAAAUGCAAAAAGGAACGCGCUGUGCCGUCAAAAUUCAAAAUUAAAAGAAAGGACAAAUGAUCGAGUUUGAAGUACAAAAGCCAAAGUCUACUGUAGCGUAGUUUCUUAUUAUUAUUUUUUUUUUAUAAUAAAAAUAAGAAACAAAAACGUACGAGUGCUUUAUAGUAAUAAUAUUGCAAAACGCAGUACUGUAAAAAGUUUCCUGAUUUCACUUCAGAAAGGGUGCACGUUCUCCGACGUGUCUCAGAAAAUUUUUUUUUUUUUUUUUGGUUGUUGUUGUUGUUAGCAACUUAGCAUCAACUAGUUUCCAUGCUGCUACUAUCAUACAAUGUUUGCUUUCCAUAUUUAUCAUGAAGAAAUACGUAGCAAGUAAGAAAAUCACCGGCGACUCUCUCUAUGGAACACAAGAAAAAAAAAGCAAUUUCUCAUACUUUCUCUUCUCUUAUCUCCAUUUCCUACCACCCAAACGCUCCGAGGCCUAUGGUAAAAUAAAACCAAAAAGAGUAUAAUAAACUAGAGAGCGAAAUCAUCAUCAUUUAGUAUAGGACUCUAUGCCAUGGUAACACCCACAAAGCCGGCACAAGACUUCUCUCAACAUCCACAUAAUUAAUUGCAUUGACUUGGAACGCAAUUGCUUUACCCUUUUUUUCUUUCUUCCUUCUCUCUUUAAAAGAAUUUGUCAUAUAUAUAUCAAACUUGUUAUCAUGCUGGACAGAAAUGAUGGCCUAGCCAAGUUGGAUUUCUAGUGCAGCAAGGCACUCGUUCUCUUUAUUCAAAACUCAAAAUAGGAGGAGAGAGUAUCGCAGGGAACCCUUUUCCUUUUAACUCUCCCAGGAGAGUAUCAUAUGGAAUGGAACGCCGAUCUUCGACUGAAGGCCAAUUCAUUCCAAAAAAAAAAAAAAAAAAAAAUUUUUUUUUCCCUUAAAAAAAAAAAUAUUUAAUAAAAGCUUUUGGGGUGGGUAGGAGAUGAUAGGUUGGUCUCAAUCGAUGAGAGGGGUCGAUCACAUUAACCACCACGCCACACCAGCUGAACAAUUUCUGAGCAGAACACAUGCAUUCAAUGCAUGGACAGGCGGGGCGUCUGGCAGUUGACCAGGGAUGCUGCAGCAGCAGCUUGCAAUGCAAUGCACGACUCCUUCAGUCGCCAUGCCAUGUACGGGACACGGGACAUGACGAUGCCGAAGCCCUUACCUGCGCGAGGCAAUUCAAAUUUCAAGUUUGAUGAUGAUGAUUAAUUUCCCAUGGACAAGUUUGAUUUUUUUGCUUCUACAAUGACAGAUCGCAGAUUUUAUUUAAUGUUUUGCUUUUCCAUCCUGUCCGUACUUUACUCUCUGCCCCUAUCACACUCAUUUUAACGCCGAGGAAGAUUACUUACGCAUGAUUAUAUUAGGAACCAAGAGGAAGAAGAGUGAAGGAGUUGGGACGUUUAGCUUAAUUAAAUCCUUAUGCAACGUAUGGAGUUCUUGUUAUAACACCCAUCUACAAGGUGGUUACAAAUUAAAUGAAGUUGCACUACUUUCCCCCGGCUAAUUUCUCAGAUUAUUUGUAUUUAAAAAAAACAUCCGCCAAAUGCACCUCUGACAUGGGUUUUUCUAAUUGUAUAGCGUCAGCACGGCCGCAUAACUAAAAAUUCCACCCAGAUCUUCUCUGCAAAAAAAUUCAAUGAUGCACAGUCGGUGUCAGAGGGGACGGGCUGACUGGGCACGUCCCCGGCUGACAGAAAACUGACUCCGUCUGCGUAUGAGUCAGAGGGAAAAAAGCAAAACUUGCAUUAUUCCAUCCGGGAAAAAAAAAGGAAAAGAUAAGGAAAGGAGCAAGUGAGCUCCAUUGAUCGAAAAGAGAUUCCCCUGCAGCUUUUUUGUGCUAAUGGUGCAGGCGAACCCCAACUACAGCCAGCAAAAGUUUUUAAUUAAAAAAAGAAAUUUAAGCUGGCUGCCGGCUUGCAAGUUUUUUUCUUUUUUUUUUUUUUAAAGUUAAGUUGCAGGUUGUCAGCCGACUAAACAUUGUUAAGUACUUUUAAGUACUAUUAUAUUUAUUUUUACCUUUAUUCUUUUAACAACCCACUACCAAAUAAUAAUUUAUUUGUAUAUUUUAUUUAGAUAUAUAUCAAUUUUCUAUAUAUUUUAUAAAAAAAUAUAAAACCAAAUUUUAUACAUAAUAAUUUCAACGAUUAUUUUUCAAACAUUUGGAAAAUGCAUAUUCUUGUAAAUUGAAUGACAUUUUUUUAUCUAAAAACUUUUUUUAGGGAUAAAAAUAAUUAAUUUAGCAAAUUUAUCUUGACCUUUUUCAUACGUUUGAGCUUAACAAAAAAUUAACCACAAAGGCUACCGAUAGCAUAAGUUUUUAUUUUUUUUUUAAAGUAAGCUACAGGCUGCAGGGCUCAAACCUUAAAAAAAAAAAAAAAGAAUUCUCUUGUCUACCGGACUGACUCAGCCCGGUAGGCAUAGUUUUCUACUGCCAAAUUGUCAGAACAACAUUGUUCCGACCUUUUUUUUUUGGGCAAUAAUCAGAGCAAUUAGCCCAGUUUCAAUUAUCAAAAUUAAAAAGCAAGAUAGGCUUUCAAAGUUGAAAUUUUGAUACAAAAAUGCACAUGUAUCUUAGAAAAUUUAGUCUUUACUUUUGUAAUAAAUAUGAUGACUUUUAUUUUAUAUGGUUGUGCAUUUGUUUAUUUAAUUAUAAAGGGUAACUAAUUGCUUGAAAAUGUUAUUAUGUUGAAUAUGCUAGAUAUUUUGGAGAAGUUUAUUACAGUUCUUCUCUAAAGAUAGAAGAUUGUGCAGCGUUUCUUUCUCAUGCCAUUUUAGAAGGAAUUUUUUCUUUUUUUUUUGGUUUGUUUACAAAGUUUAAUAGAUGGCAUAUUUGGCUUACAAUAUCAAAUUGGAUUUUUAUGCUACUAGAAACAGGUAAAGAGAGGGUGUAACUUGAAAUUGGAGAGGAACUUUCUGCAAUUGUCAUAGAUCUUGAAAGAAGUUCGUGAAAUUAUCCAUAUUCUUUUUCAUAAUUGGGCUGAAUCAAUCGUAAUCAAUUAAGUAUCCCUUAGUGUGGGCUGGUAGGAAAAUUUGGCGUGAAUGAAAGGUUUGCAAUUUUGAUGCGCUUUUAGUAUUGCCCACCAGGCAGUAUACCACUCGAAAUGGAAAAAUAAAUUGGGGGACGUGCCCAAUCAGCACGUCCCCUCUGACACAUGAGCAGACUCUGUCGGAUUUCUUUCAGGCGGGGACGUGCCCAGUCAGCACGUCCCCUCUGACUCAUACACAGACGAGUCAGUUUUCUGUCAGCCGGGGACGUGCCCAGUCAGCAGGAAUGAGAACUCCGACAUGCGCAGGAAUGACUUCCAACUACUGACUGCAAAUUUACGAAGUAGCAAGGAAUGAAAAGGACACAACAGUCGGUGACUGCUAUUCAUGCACAGACCUUAACACCCAGGUGCAUCUCACCGUGCAACACCCAGUUUUAGACUACCACUGUUACCGAAGACUACCGCAAUAUUUUGUAUACCAGAAGUGAACAAUUCAUCGUGCGAAUUUAUGAAGGGGUGGCCCAAUUGUAAGGUGAUCAUCCGACCAGCAACCACUGUUAGGUCCAAAAUACUAAUUAAUGCAUCUAUUUACCUCUUUUUUUUAUCAGGAAUAUCACUUCCCCGACCACUGUAGAAUUUAACCCAAAAAGGCUGAAGCAUUGUCCCAAUUUAACACAAAGAGGAAUGACCAAAGCCACAUAUUGUAUGUGAACGGUUUCAAUUUUUUUACAUGGAUGAUCAAAAUAUGACAAACCACAUAUUGGAUAUAGGGCCAAUCUAUAGGGAUGCAAUCAAGACAUCUUGGGGUACUUUUUAUUUCGUUGCCUGCUAUAUUUUUAGAGUAUUUGACCAUGUACCCUGUGAGGCAUUUCAAGACACAUGUAUAAAGUCGAACUCAUUCUAUUGGUUCACUGAAUUCCAUCAUGAGCUCCCUGGAACUUUUGGUUUUGGGACAUCCAAUCUUAAAGGUAUGACAUCUUGGGACUUUCCUUUUGCAGCCUCCUCCCUUUCCUCCAACUUCCUUGUUUCCCUAAGCUCCACAUAUGGGUAGUAAUGCUGGUACAUGUACAAGCAAAAGCCUCGACGACACAACUUGAUUUGCAUUUAGAGCUCAUGCUUCCCAUGUCUUCUAGAGAAUCUUACCGCAAACCACCAUUAAGAGAGAGCCAAUGGCUAUAAUUCAUGAAUGGAGGUUACCAGAGGUUCUUUACUCUUUUUAAUCAGAAAACAAGGUCAUCCAACGAAAUAAAAAACCUCCUACGUCUCCAUUUUCAAGUUUAUCAUACAUACUUUAGAUGAUCAAGGUUAAAAGGUGGUCAUCUCAUACAUUAUUUGUCCAUAUCUUUUUCCAGCACAUCACCCUAUUUAACAAGUAUUUACUCGGUCCUUUUUACAAAGACAAACCCUCCUCAAGUUUUGGCAUUUCGUACAUCACCGAACCCUAUUCGAAAUCUGGAGCCUUAUCAAGAGAAAAAUCACUCAUAGUCUUUUAACUUGUCACACCACCUUCUCUACUUGGUUUGUGUUAUUGCUUACCAUUUCCAGCUCAAUAUGAAGAUCAACCAGCACUUGCACAAUCAAACUCACUCGCAGAAAAUUUUCGUUCCAAAUACGAAAUAUUAAGGAAAAUAUCGUAUGAGUUUCAACAUCAAAAGAAGCAAUUAUGUUUAAGCUGUAACUGAAACAUACAAUGGCAAAUUGGCAAUUUAGGCUGCGGUGAAGAAAACAUAAAACGCAACUUCACGCACUUUAAGACAUACUCAUUUAAAGUUACAGCUGGUGCUAAAAGUUCUUGCAAUUCCUGUGUUGCACAACAGUUCCCUGCAAAAACAAAAUGGAUACAAUCUUAGUCAUAAGCUACAACACAUUAUUUCAUUAGUCAUGAGAAAAAUUGGAGUCAUUCACAACAACCAAAACCCUUCCCUGUCUUUAACUUCUUGUAAUUGACUCCAGUUUUCUUAACGAGGCCAAUAAUAUGCAUCCGCUAAGAAUUAAAAACGAAUCUUGCUAACAUAAGCAGAAACAAGAAAUCGCAGUAUGAUUAGCAAUACAGAAGCAAUUUCGACAGAGAACUGUUGAAAUUUGAUUUAAAUAAAUUUUUAGCAUGGAUGUAGGAGGUAAAAACAAGAGAAUAAAGACGAGUAUCAUAACUGCCUACACUGUGCAAACUAAAUUCGUACAAUUGCCAGCAGGAUAAUUGUGCUAUUGAAUCUGGAUCUACUUUGCCUAAAUUUAUUUUACAGGCAUAUCAGAGUAUGAACCAGCACUGAUCCAGGAAAUGAAAGAGGGAUUCAAUAGGUUUAAGAAAUUUUCAUCUGUAUCAAAUGGAAGGGAGUAGCAGCCGGUAAAAAGGUUGGUAAGCCAACACAGUGGAACUAUAUCCGGGUGUUUUAGAAUAUACAUCUUUCCUUAAUUGAAGUCAUAUAUAAGCAUAUUUCGCUACCAUGAUGUUGUGAAUCAAUAUAAACCAGCCAAAUUUUCUGACUUGUCCUUUGCAGUCUGCAUCACUCAGAACUGUCCAGCAUUUUACCCAUGAAGAAGAGUUUAUGCCCAUUUAACCUCUCUGUACCUUUUCUUCACCAACAUUUAAUUGGAAACCUCAUGCAUUACCUUCAUGGAAUUAUCUAAGCAACUAAGCAUUUUAAUGUUUUCCAUGUAUACAAUAUACAACCACAAAAGACCAAACUUAGCUUGAGUAUUCUCAUACUUUGUCCUGACUAUAACCAUAUAAGCCUUAAUAAACUUUGUCACCUGCUUCUGAGUUCCCUGUUUGCCACUUCCAGUAUGGUAAAAAGUAGACCACCACAAAAGAUCUAACAUAGCUCAAGUGUUCUCAUAAGUUGUUCUAAACAUAGUCGUACGAGACAAAAGAACUAUUUCACUUGCUUCUGAGGUCGGGGAGUUCAACUUUCAAUAUGUCAAAAGAAAGUUACAAUGAGAAGGAUUGCUAGGCCUCCUAUUCUACUGAAUUGCCCAAUCAAGUGGAGUAUAUGAACAAUUUUAAAAAAAAAUAAUUUCUUUACCAUUUCAUUUAUUUCUUCCAGUGACUUUUAGCUGUUCUAUCACAUAUGACUGCAAAUAUAGCUGUAGAUGUGGAAACCUAGUAUUAAGUACUUCCAUACAUGAACAAGACAAAAACCUACAACUUAUCUCACUUCAUUCAUAACCGUUGAAGUUGCUCCUAACAAAUAUCAUGCCACAUCUAAGCAAAUGCCAAGCUAGCCACAUCACAAACUUUUUGUUUUUUCAAUGCAAAAAGACAUAAUUUUUAUCAACAAAAGGAGGCAGGUACUUGCAAGGAAACAGCAUACAGCAAGCAUCCUUUUAACACAAGGACGGGAGGUAUGGCUGAAGUUCAGCAAUUUGGAGCAACCAACAACAAUGAGAAGGGCAUUCAAGAUAUGAGGAGUUCAUAUUUUAACCACUCGUCGGAAAAACAGCAAAAGAAAUAGAGGUACUAAGAGAACUUCAGCAGCAGUAUAUAACAUGCCCAAUAUAUACCAUGACUAGCAAAUGCAGGAUUGAUGGAGAAUUGGUUAUUUCAAGAUCCCAGCAAGGAAUCACAAUUGCCUUGUACACGAUUUUUAAGGAGCAAAGAUUUCAGUUUACAUGAAAAUUAAAAAGGAAAGAAAACACGUAACCAGAAAAAGCCGAUCACAAAAGAAAACAAAGCCAAAUCAUCCGCCCAACUUUUUAUCGAAAUUAGCAAUUAAAAUGUGAUCUUGCAAAAACAGGCAAUACUAAAAUAUUAGUACCUUCUACAAAACUCGGCAAAAUAUCGGAAGCCAUUGUAGAAAACAAACCACAUCAAAACGACCACCAAGAUAUCUAUCAAACUGUUAAGUAUCCCACAUCAAUCAACUCCAAUAAAGAUCCAAAUUACAGCAUAGAGGAUUGCAUUUAAAAUUUACAGAAAUCUAAUCAUUAAAGCUUAUGAGGAAAUGAAUCAGCCAAAAGGAUACUGAAGAGGCAACGUUCCCACCAGUCGAGCAUGUAGAGUCCGAAAGUGACAUUAUAUAAAUAAAUUUUACGUUGAAACCAAUUCAUUCUUUAAUUUUGUGAGACGCUUAUGAGAAUGAUAUCAGAGAAUCAGUUGAAAAAUUUUCAACUAAUUGAAUGAUAUCAGAAUCGAGUGAAUCAAAUUGAAGGAUGAGAAAAUUCAGCGGCGAAUUUGUGUUACCUUGCUCUAGGAAAUUUUUCCCAGCUGCACAUCCGAAAGAUGAGUUCAGACAAUCGUUAACAUUAGCCGCCAUUUUAAGGAGUCGAGCUCGGAUCAGAUGGCUACAAAGGUUAAGUUUUUUUUUUUUUUUUUUUUUCAGUUUACUUCUCUCUCUCUCUCUCAAGGACUUUAGGCUUUUUAGAAUGAAUUUAUUUUUGGUCAAAUUCCUCGGACACCCUUCGUGAGUUUUUUAAGUUAGGCUUUUUAGAGUGAGUUUUUCUUCCACAAAUAUCUCCAAAUCAACGUUUGCAAUCUAUAAAAAGUUUCGAAUCUAGAUAUCAUUAUUGAGGGUGCAAAUGUUUGAUCCUUUUUAUAGAGGUAAAUGUUCAUUUAGGAACUUUGAAAAAAAAUUACUAAGGUCUAAUAUUACUAGAAACAAGUAAUCAUUUGCAACAUUGGAUUAUGCAUGGUUAAAUUUUUCACUAAUAUGUGUUUGGAUUGUAAAUUAUUUGAGAUAAUUUUAUGAAAAAGUACUGUAACAUUUUUUUUUAUAUGAUGUAUGUGAGAUAAAAAGAUGAUUGAAAAAUAUAUUGAUAAUGCAAGCAAAUUAGUGUGUGUAAAACUUAAAUUCAAAGUAUAAUGGGUAUAAGUGGACAUUUCAAACCAUAAGAGAUAUGUCUUAAAAUCACUUAACUAUAAAACACGUAUGUGAAAUUGAUCUUUUAUUUUUGUUCUUUUUAUUGUUCGAUGCAAUUUUUUCCCUUUUUGUCAUUUUGCCAAUUACUCUCUUUUCAUUUUUUGGGCUCAUUUUCAGGAAAAGGAAUGAGUUAGAAAAUUCAAAAUUAUUUUUCAAAAAAAAAAAAGAGAUUAAAAACAAGUAAAUAAUUGCCCAUUACCCCAAAAAAUGACGUGUCCUUGCGCAUACAUUGCAGUUGUAAUUUGUAAGCAAUUUGUUUUGUAGAUCUCGCAAUUACUAUAUAUAAAUUAAAAAAUUUACUAUUACAUAAUUCAAAGUAAUUCAAAUUUUAAAAAAAUAACACAUCAAAACAGAGUUAAUUAAUUGUAUAGUACCACAAAUUAGCACUCCUAUCUUUACAUGCGAUAUGGAAAGCUAAGAUGAAAGAAGUUAAAAAAAAAAAAAAAUUGUCUUCCUCUAAGCUAUCGUCUUAAAAGUAGGAGUCAAACGAAAAAAAUGAAUUUAUUUAGAAAAAAGAAUAAUCACAAAAUUUUCUCAAAUAUGCUUAAUAUUUUUUAUUUCAAUUUUCAAGAAACAAAUUUUGAAAACAAAAACCAUCACCAGCCUGAGUCGACAAAAAAAAAAAAAUUAUGAAAGAAAAGAAAAGAAGAGAAAAAAUAUUUCUUUUCAAAUUGAUAGACAGAUUAAAAAAGAAGAAAAUAAUUGUAGAUUCAUUAGAUAUUAUCAUUUUAUUAUUGAACAUUUUAUUCACAACUUUCUUUCCAUUUCUUUCAACCUAUCCCUCCAUUUCCUCUCUUUUUAUUCCCACUUAAAACUUCCAAACAAGAGAAAUCCCUUCUUCUUCUUCUUCUUUUUCCUUCUUUGCUCUCCAAAUCUCACCCUUCAAAAAGGAGGGGGCAAUUGAGUAAUUAAACCCUGGACUAAACCCUUCCCGAGUAGAACAACGGCGGCAAAAUUUUCGUGGAACUGUUCUUACAUUCGAGCUUCCUUCAAAAAUCUCUUCUUCCCCAGCUUUGCUCCGCAUGCAUUUUUCUUCACAGCUUUAGGCCAAUACCAUCAGUAGCGGCGGACAUGGACUUUGACGACCUGGACGAGCCGAGCCAGGCUCCAACCCGGCCCUCUCGUUUCGCACCCAAGGGCUCCAAAUUCAAACCUAGAACAGAGCCAGUUGCAGCAACCUCGAACUCCAUUGCUAAAAAGGAGGAAUUAGAUUCCAAACCAGUAUCACCGAUUAAUUCCUCCACCACCGCUGCCGCUGGAAAAGCUGAAGAUGCAGCAUCCGCUUCCGUUUCCCAAUCCGUGGCAAUGGAUGUCGAUGCGAAGGUGGAAGAAGAAGCAGAGCAACCGAAAGAUGAACCGAUGGAGUCGAGAGAAGAAGGAGAAGAUGAAAUUGUGAGAGAAAUUGAUGUUUAUCUGACACCUUCUAUUGAUCCUAAUACCAAGGUUAGUGUUUCUGCUUUAAUUAAUCUGUACAAAAUGUUCUAGUGAUUUUUUUCUUUGUUUACAUUAGUUUCUAUUUAAUAUUUCAGCUAUACGUGUUGCAAUAUCCUCUGAGGCCAUUGUGGCGGCCAUAUGAAUUAGAUGAUAGAUGCGAAGAGGUGCGUGUUUUUCCCUUUCUUACCUAACUUAGAAUGAUAGGCUGGGUUAAGUUUCAUGUGUUGACAUUCUUUUAGAAAAAUUGAAUCAAAGAGUGGAAUGAACUGCUGUAUAGGAAGGAAUUUGAUCCCAUUCUUAGGUUGAGUACUAAAGGAGGGGUUUGGGAUUGAUUUGCAGGUGCGAGUGAAGUCUAAAAGUGCUGAAGUAGAAGUUGAUUUGGCAGUUGAUGUUGAUUCCAAGAAUUAUGACUCUGAUGCUGAUCCUAGAGUUUCAAUGACUAAGCAGGUAGCCUGUUUUCUAAUUUCAUUAUUCAUGUGUUCUGUCCAAAUUAUACAAGUGUGGCAAAUUUUGACAGAAAUCAAGUCUUUUGAUGUAGCAAUUGCUUUUGAACUACUACUAAAUGAAACCUUGCAACAGCACAGUGACAUAGCUUAUAGAGUUUAUUGGAUGAGGGACCUGAUAAGGCCUCUCCAAGUCCAUAAGAAGUAUCUUUAUAAGUGAUGUACUUCCCAGCAUAUGCGCCUGAUUGCAAAAUCUGUAGUCUCAAUGGGCUUCCACAUGAUCCUGUGUUUUUUCUGAUUAAAUAAAGCUGAUAGGAUUCUUGAAGUAUUAAAGUUCCUUGUAGCCGUUUGAAGUUUCCGUGAACUACUAGCUACAUCAUAGCUAAACUCCUAUACCUUUUGUUUUUUUUUGGGGGUCCUAGAUUGCCCAUAGUUUGAUAGAGUUUUAUAUUUUGUGAUUGGAUGAUUUUCUUUGUCUUCAAAGAGUUUUUGUUUCAUAUCUUUAUGCUAUUAGUAUGGCUGGGAUUUGUUUUUCUGUGUGAUUUCUGUUGAAUCUCGUUUGAUUUAAGUAUAUUACCAGUAUAAUCCAUAAUAUGUUUGCCUGUGGUCCUUUCCAGACUCUUACCUCAUCAUGGAAGCCACCUGUCACAGCUGGAUAUGCUGUUGGAGUUCUUGUUGGAAACAAGGUAUGCUCUUUUAUCUCGUUGAUUCUCAUUUUACAUGUAUUUUGUGUUUUUCUAUUUGGACUUAUUGGACUCUAUGCUUUCUGUUUGGUUCUGUUAUUUCUGGUUGUUUCUUGCCUUGACCUUCUUCUCGUCUAACAUUAUAAGCAAUUGAAACUUAAAAUUGUAGGUAAUACUCAUGGUUAUCUCACUGUAGCAGUAUGAUAGCAGGACUCUACAAAGUUGAAUUGCAUUGCAAAUUAAGAGAAAUCAAAUUCAACAAGAAAAUUUUUGACAUUUCUGGACAUAAAUGUCCUUACCAACUUUAGCAGGAGCAUUGAAACAAUGUAUUCACUGAGAGGCAGACUGUCUAUCUACCGCAGUUUUCCAAGAGACGAAUCAAUUAAAUGACUAGUCACUGCAUAAAACAUCCACCUUUCUGUGAAUCUAUUUGCACUUGUCCAAGAGAAAGAGAAGGAUAAAGAUUGCGUAUUCAUCAUAUCCACACUCAUAAGCACAGACGGCAACUGACAGUUGAGAAAACUUCUGGCAGAACUAUCACUGAUAUACCCACAAGUCUUUAUAGAUAGUUACUUAUUUUCUGCUGAUUUUGGGCGCUCCCCUCUAGAAUACGGUGAAAUUAUUAGAAAUGAAUGGUUGUUGGUUGACCUUUGCCCGUUUUAAUUCUUGUUUGACUUUUGCUAAAUGAAAUUAGUUAUAACAAUACUCAAUUAGAAGAUUUUUCUUGUACGUGUGACUUGUUUCGCAUUUCUAUAUUGUAAAGUUCUAUGAUUGCUUUUUUGUCAUGCAGUUACACCUGAAUCCUAUUCAUGCAGUUGUACAGCUCCGACCUUCAAUGCAGCAUUAUAAGCCUGAGAGUUCUAAACGGCGAACUACUGCAAGCAGUAACCUUGAAGAUAACACAAAGGGGGAAGAAGUAACUACUGGGUCAUUGAAGAAGCAGGUUCUGCAUUCUGCCCCUCUUUUCUCGUUUUGCCAGUGAAGCUACUAUACCUUUUAGUCAUAAUUUUUAUGAGGUCCAAUGAUCUGAUGAAAUGGAAGAUGUAAAACAUGCUCACUUUUAAUGAUGAUGAGGAUACAACUGGAAUAUUUGAUUUAUCCAAGCUUAAUCUCUCUCAGGAUUUAAUCCCCUUGGUUAAUUCUAGACUUCAAAGCGAGAUGUAUGGUGUUGGGGUCUUUGCUAGGCAUCUAGACAGUGCUAUUGCAGGCACUUUUGUAGGGCUAAGUUUUAUGUAUCAUUUCUGGAUUGAGUCAAGCUAAAUAAAGCAUUUCUGAGUGUCCAUUAUCUGAUCAGAUCUUAUAAACUUGGAUUACUUCAUCUGCAGGGUAAGUCAUCUGGGCCUGUGAUUGAGCAGAACAAAGAUACUAGAGAGGUAUCCUUCCAUUUGGUCUUUAAAUUGUUCAUCAAGAAAAAAUUCAUUCAUAUUAAUCUCAGCAACUAUCGUUCAUUUUAAAAAUUCAUUCAUGCAAUUGUCUUUAAAUUGUUCUUCAAGAAAAAAUUCAUUCAUUUUCCUCGCAUAGGUUUGUCAUUUUUAUUAUGACUACGGUCCUUGAAAUAGAGAUUAGAUAACUACAGUAUUUUGUUAAAAAUUCAAAGCUACAGCAUUUUGUUUUGUGCUUUUUAUUGUAUGGAAAAAUUGGUAAAGUGGAUUCACAAUCACGAGUGUGAACAGCAUAUCUUUAUGGAUUGAGUGAUUUAUUUAUUUAUUUACUUUUUGCUUAUUAAAUGAUAGAUGCGCCUUUUACAACUUAUCAGUCUCUUUGUUCUUCUCCUCUUUCUCAGGAUUGGAUACCUCUCAACUACCAUGGAGCAAGGAGUGAUAUUUCGAUGAGUUAUGUGAGAAAAAUGGUUGAACAUGAUUCUUCUCAUAUACAAUUUUCAAUGAACAGGUAUGAUUCAUUACUGUAUUUUGUAUCCUGUUAGUAAUGAGUUAGAACCCACCUGGAAUCUGCUGAGCAAAAAUGUGAUGCAGCUUGAGUAGAAGACAGUUUAAAGAGUUUAGCUUCUGAAGCUUUUCGCUUUAACCCCAUUUGUUUUUUGUUUUCAAUUUUGAAGGCAUGACUAUGUGAACACCUUGUGUCCUGGCACAUCAAAUGAGAAUAAUGGAUCCAAUGGGCCUUCGAGAAGGUAUUUAACACAUUAAUUGAGUGAUAGGUGACAUAAGCACUGAUUUUUAUGUUACAAUGUCAAAUUUUUUCUUUCUUAAUUUCGAAUUUUUUACAUACAAACUCAUUGGGGUUAAAUUCUCUAUCAUACGGGAUGACUUGUUGAUUUCUAACAGUGGAUAAGAAAAUGUCUGUUUAGUGGAUGAGUAAUUUACAUGCUCAUUUGGCUUUGGCUGGUUAGAGUUGUACCUCAUAUGGUCCUUUAGCUUUCUUUAGAUACGUUGAUAUCAGGUCAUCCACUGUCGUCUGUAGGAAUACAAUUUUGAUGUUGCUUUGGUACAAUAUUUGUUGGCUUUUUGCUGUGGUGGUAGAAUCGUGUUUCAUUGCUUCACUCAAGUGAUCUCAUUGUCUGAUUUUUUCCUGUUCCUGCCUUUACAUCCCGUCUCAAGAGCCAGCAAUGACUGACAUUUGGUGAUAGGGACUCUCCAAAUGCUCAGUUUCUUAUGGAACUUAUAUUUAUUUCUAUUCCUGCAUUUUCUUUUGGUGCUAAUUUCUAUUCGUGCUUUUGAGAUUGUCUCUCUUUCUGAAUUGUUGAGACUCCAGGGUUUUGCUCUCAUUGCCACUUGAAGAACGAUUUAGAACUUGGCUUCUUCAGGUACAUUCUGCUUAUUUGGACUCGUGAAAUUCAUUGAAUGAAUGAACUAUAGAUUUUUAUUGGAAUCUGAGUGAUGACUGUAGUUGAUCUGCUUUUAAUUUUAUGAAUUUAAUUAGUUUUUCAGUAAUGCUGUUUCUUGUUUGGUUGUGUAUAUCUUUUGUAAAUUUUCAAUGUUCAACUUACACAUUCUGCUCUUUGUUUGGACAUAUAAUCCUGUAGCAGAAACACUACCUGGAGUAUGCAUGGCAGACCCAAAAAAUUGGUGAUACCAAAGAAUUUCAUCCGUUGGCAAAUGUGACCACAAAUACUCUCUUGGCAUUUCAUUUACUGGUCGAGGAUUUCUUAAAAUUGUGAAACUUUGCAAUGUCGAAAUAUGAUACUAUUUUAUUGCCAAUGAGUUCCAUCUGACAGUAUACAAAUUGCUAGAUAUGCCAUAUUGAAGUAUCAAAAGUCCAGAUAGCCCUGGGUCAGUUAUUACAGAAGUCAUUAGCUUGUAAUGGGAUUGCAUAGCAAGCACUUUUUGCUAGGAUCAUUGGAGAGGUGCUUGUAAACCCAAAGCAGUAGCAUGGUAUACUGAAAAAUUCAUAGGACUUAUCACUUAGAACGAUGGAAUGCUAUUUCUGUACCAUCUGAUUAACCUUGCUGGCAAUAGAUGCUCCGAUUUCCUACUUGACUGCUGGUCAGCUCAUUGCAGAUCAAAAUUCAACAUGUUUGGAGUUUUAAUUUUUAGCAGAUUGGACAUGGGUAUAAAGUUUUUUGAGGGUUGUAUCACCACAGCAUUAAUUCUUUUAUCUGUUGCAGUUUCUGUUCACAAUUCCCAGCUUCUGCCUACUUGGUUUUUAGUCAUCAUGGGAAGUUAGAGUUGAUGACCUUGUACUUGUAAUUCAGCUUUAUAACUUUAUUUGAAGUAAUGUGGAGAAAAACCUUCACAAAUGUGAUGGUCCUGGGCCUCUGCACUUCUGUUCAUCAACUUUCUCUUCUUCAAUUUCAAACUUAAUAUGACAAAUAGAUCUAGUGUCUUGAUGUACACAAGGGCCUUUCUAAUCCAAAACUUUUGUCUGACAUUACUGAAUUGUUAGAAGUUAGCUACCCAUCUCUGUUUUAGACAGAUUGUUAAAGACAAUUAAGAGAUUUUUUGUUGUAAUGCUUCUCAAUUAUCCUCCUUUUUUUCCUUUAUUGACAUUUUUUAAAAUUACUUUGUUGGUAUACCUUAAUUUGUUUAUUCCCCGUUUAAUCAGUUAGGUAGUUAUUAUUAUUAUUAUUUCUAUAGGGGCCUCCAAUCCAUCGUUUUGAUGCUUUAAAGCAUUUGGCACCUGAUGCAUCUGUCGAGGAUAUCUUGGCAGUCCUCAGCCAACACGCUCAAUUAGUUCAAGGCUUGUGGAUUCCCAAAAGUUCACUGCUGUAUGGAAAAGAUCAAGGAAUUGAUGCUUUAGCGAGGGAUUAUGUUCUUCUUCUGUUUAGCAGGACUCCUAUUAUUAACAAUUCACAACUACCACAACAACAGAAACUCAAUAGAGCUAUGAGAGAUGUACUUAACACAGUAGCUUUUGAGAGAGCUUCUCUUAAUGAUUGGAAGUUCAAAGAGCCUCCUGACAUGACAUUCAUAAAACUUAACCCUAAGAUUGUCAGAGAACAGGAACAAACUUGGGAACGCUUGGAGAAACUGAUAACUGAAAAGAUCUUUGUAGAUAAAAACAGGCCUGCUACUAAAAACUCUUCAAGGCCUCUCACCACAAAUAACCCUGCAACAUCAAAGAGUUUAAGUAAGCAUGCAUCAAAUUCUUUAAAUGCAGGAGUGCCAAGGAGACCAAUGUCAGAAGAAACUCGCGAGGCUUUACCAAAGGCCCUUCAGAAACUUUUUCAAAGUCACAAGGUUUGCAGGUGAUUUUUUUUUCCUGCCUUUGGUUAGAUAUUGCUAGUAUUGUUAGCAUUCUUAACUUCAGGUUAUUAUGUACGGUUCAUGCCAACCACUUCUUCUUCUUUUCUUAUUUAACGAAAAAUGGUAGAAGGGAGUAUCUACACAAAACAAGGGCAAGCAUCAGUACUACAAACUGCUAAAGCAGUGGUGUGACAAAAACCAACCUACAAAACUAACAACUGUUUACACAACAGCAUUACAUUAAAAAUAUCUUCAGGCAAUAAUUUUUGCUCAAAAGUACUAGAAGGCAGGGUUCAUCCAAGGGCCAGGGACCUAUCAUCCUAAGUGCUUCGAAUAACUUUCUAAGAAGCACACACACCUCUUACAUUUGUUAACUGUAUCAACACAGAGUUCAGGGAUGCACACAGUAAAUGUGUUGUAGCUGGUUUUGACCCAAGUAACAAUUGAUUUGCUAGUUUAGUCCCAGUCUGUGGGAUGUAGAACCAUCUACCAUGUAUUUGUGAUAGCUAUAGAAAUGAGAUCUAGUUUCUCGACAGAAGUAUGUGUGUUGCAUGGAUGAGCAAGUUUAUUGUUAGUCCCUUUUUCAUGAAGUCUCCUAUCUGCAACUCAGCCACUAAUCAAGACAUUAACUGUUUAAUUGGAUGGUUUUUAUUUUUCUUCCCUGCUAGCAACUUAAGAAAUAUGUAUUGACAUUGACAGCUUCCAACAAAUUUGCCAGCGUCUAAGGGAAAUGGCAGUUUCUGAGUCUUCCCGUCCAAAGGGAUUUGCUAGAGAAGCAAUAGCUGCAGCACAUGGUGUUGAAGCUCCUCCAGAGGAGCUUCAGGCAAUCAUUAGUCAAGUCGCAAUUAACAUUCAUGGUGUUUAUGUUUUGAAAUCAUCCCCAGUUCACCCCGAACAUGAUGAAUUCAGGUUAUUGCUAGAUCUCCAGCCCCUACACUUUUCCUAUUUUUAUUAUUUACUCAGUGCAUAGUCAAGAUUAGUUUUCAUUUGCAGGAAAGUUGUCAUUGAUCUUUUCAUUGCUGAAGGACCAAACGCAAAGCUUAAGAAGGCCUCAAUGAUAGAAGCUGCUAAAUUGCAGCUUAAAAGGGAUAUUAACAGCCUGGAAUAUCAAAAGGUCAAGCGUCAGAGCUUGAGUGCUUUAUUUGUCUGUUUGCUAUCCUUUUGGUUUGCCCAGAGCAAAAUUAUUAGAUGCUAAUGGUCACGUCCAUAAACCAACUUCAGUUUUUGCAUGAGAUAGAUGCUUUUUCAAAUGACAAAGUGGGAGCUGCAUAAUGAAGAAUAAGUAGCAUGUGACAUAUCUUAAAAUUGAGUAGUAGUGCUUUGCUCUCUUUAUUGGCUUAAGUGAUGAUGUAAUAAGUAGAUUAUACUUUGAAGUAGGUAGGAACUCUACUGAAUAUGGGAGUGUAGGUGCUGUCUGAAACUCUGGAACUGAUAGAGCAAAACAAGAAAGCUAUGCAUUUGAAAUACUAUUAAUAAAUUGAGGUGCACAGUCUGGUCAUCUUGCAAGUCUGUCCUUGCUUGUUGUAGUGGAGCAUUGACAGUCUCAUGGGUCACUCUUGAACAGAUUUUACCUUACGCUUUUGUCGAAUCUGCAGUUUAGCUAAUCUUUUACCCUAUUGUUUUCAGGUUGUACAGGAACUAUGUGUAUCUCAAGGUUCGGCUUGGGUCUUGAAAAGUGGUGAUGGAAACCCGAAAUGAUGCUUCCCCCAUUCAGAAUGUUUAAGGUACUAAAGUUAAUUAACACCAGAAGUCAUAUGAUUGAUUGUGGAAAAAAUUUAUGAUAACUGCUGCACAUUGGUUUGUCUGAGCACAUGUUAUGAAAUGGUGACACACCUAGAGAAUUACUUGUCUGAUAGAUUGAUUUGUAAAAAUGCCUGGAACCUUUGUUGCUUCUAUGAAUCUUGUUAUACUUCCACCGAUGAUGUCAAUGGAGAAUCACUUUUGACGAUAUAGCUGCAUGGAACCUAAGAACACUUUUGUUGGUGGGAGUACUUUCUGAGUUUUUGGAAGUUACAUCUGAUGGUAGGGGUGGAGUUUUUUCUGUGUUGUUGUACCAUACAAAAACUAAUUGGUUAAAUUAUAAUUCCCAUGAAGUGGUUGUCAUUGCAGUAAAUGAUACUAUAGGGGCUACUUCUUUAGCUGCUGAAUGAGGUGGUUGUGUGGCACUGCUCAUCCCAUGCACGCUGGAAAUAUGAUUUCCAUUUUUCAAUUUUCUCUCUAGACAUGAAACUGACCGUUCAUGAUGUAGCUUUAGAAAAAAAUUUUGGCGUUAUUUACUGUAGCACCUUUUUGGUACAAUGGAUGCAAGAUAAAAUGGUAGUUUGAAAACGUGUUUUGUGAAUAAUAAGAAACACGUAGUUUGAAAAUUGUACCUUUUUGGUACAAUGUAUGCAAGAUAAAAUGGUAGUUUGAAAACGUGUUUUCUAAAUAAUUCAAUCCAAACGAACUCAAAUGGCUUCCCUUUUCAGGUACUCGAGGUUGAUUCAGUGUGAUAGAUUGCUCAAAAAUGUCAUCUGAGGGUGAUUCUGUUUGAUAGGUUGCUCAGAAAGGGUAUCUGCUUAGGUCAACGGAUGAGGUGAUUAUCGCACUUCUUGUUUGGUAGGCAUAAUUUGUGCAAAUUACGUUACACUUGAGGUGAUGACACUUGACAGUUUACUUAGUUCUUAAAUCUGGAUCUUAUUAUUGAAAAAAUUUGUAAACAAUCAGCUUAUUUCAGUGCCUAUUUGCUUAUUUCAGUGAUGAUGUUCAAGCUCUUUACAUGAUUGUUAAUGUCAACAGUUUGUGCGGGCUUUUUUGUGCAGGAACACUAUCCCUGGUAAUUGGUUCGUUUUCUGGAAACUUAUAAGCUGACUCAGGUGGGUUAAUGGGGACAUUGUGGUCAGUCCACUGUAGAUACUUGAUUCCCACCAGAAUUUAGAUUUAGUAGAUUUUUCAAAUGAAACAUACAUUAUGCAACAAAUGAUUACAGAAGUAGUUAAGUGUAUCCUAUAGAAAAGAGGUAUAAUGUUCCACAGAGAGCAAACAAAGACCGGGAACCGAUUGCGUUGCCUGUGAGGUUGCAUUACUUCGUUGUGGAACACAUUUGUCUGUACCAUGUACAUCGAGGAUCAAUUUUUUUUUUUUUCUGUAAAAACAUAUUUUUAACUUCUUCGAAAGCCUUUGUGGCGUUACUGGCAUGAACUCCUCUUUGUUGUGCCACUGCAUGAUCGUCCUUACAUAUAUAUAUAUAUAUAUAUUGGUAAAAGUGAUCGUCUUUAAAUGCUGCUCCUAUUGUACAACUUUUGUGCCGCGGUCAUAAGAAUCUGGAACUCUUAACUGCGCUGCAAUUAGCGUUGUAGAUCCCUGCAUAUGACGUUCGAGCCUCCAAGGCCACGUCUCGGGCUUUUAUUUCACCAGGAUUGAGAUUCAUUGUAAAUCUCUGUCACGAGUCCAAGACAAAAAUGAUUUUUGCACCAAUAAUAAAUCUUGACAUUGUGAUCUAACCUUAUUUUAAUCUAAUCUUAGAUUGGAGCACAAUGUAAGUGGUAAUUAGGGCCGAAAGAAAAAUCAAGCUGCUCGAGUUGAAAAACAAUCGAGUUCCUUGGUACGUAAAUUGAGUUUGGUUCAAUAAAGGUUUAUUUGAAUUUGAUUGGCUAAUUAACUAAAUCAACUUGGAAUAGCAUAUUAUAUUUGAUAAAUUUUCAAGUUCGACUUACAUGUAAAACAUUCAAAUUUUCAAAUUCAGUUUAAACUCGGUUUGAUACAAGUUUAACUUGAUAAAAUCUCGUUUGAACUUGAUUUAAAAAGUAAACAAUCCAAAGUUGAACAUAAUUUAAAAUUUGCUAAAAUAAUCAAAUAUAUUUGAAAGCAAGGAUGUUUGCCUUGUUUAGACUCAUUUACAUUCUUAAAGGAUAUAAAAAAAAAAAAAUUGUUUUCAAGAAUAGUAAUACUCCACCAAAUCUCUUAAUUUGCCCCUCAACCGUUUACAUCUAGACUAGAUUGAUAUAGCCCUUGUGGUUAUACGGACUUUUAGCAGGAAAUGUCAUUGCAAUUACAGCUAAAAAGUUCUCCUAUUUGAAGGUAAAUAAUUCUUCUCAUACUAAUCCAGUCAAUUGAAAAGAAAAAAAAAUAUCUGUCAACUGAAGCAAGGAAAAUAGAACGCAAGUUUGAGCUUCAGGGAUUCAAUUAUGUUUUGCUGUUUACUGUUUAUUCAAAUAGAUGCUACGUGAUAAAUUUGUAGUUUUCCCUCAAAAUCUUCUAUUUAGUUCUUACAAGUUCCUAAUUCUGGCCAGUUUCAGUCAAUUUGUUAGAAUUCAGUUGGAAGCAUUUGGUUUGUCAAAAAGUGUUUUUUUUUUUUUUUCAGAGCAAGAAAAAAUUAAUGUUAUAUAUUGGAUUCAAUGCUACAAUUCCCAUCAACAGUAUAUCAUUGUCGGUGAUUCUAUGAAUAUAAUCUACAAACAUUUUGAAAUUAUGAAAAAUACAUUUCUAAAUUAUAAUCAUGAAGUCCAAAUCCAAUUCAAACUCGAGUUGAACUCAAAAAAAAAUUUUCCCCAAUAAACCGGCUCGCGUGUUAUAUGUAUGCCAAUAUAAACUCUAAACCUUUUCCUUUUGAUAUCUUUUACUUACAAAAUAAGGGUUUUUUUUAUUGAGUAUAAAAUAAGAUGUGUGUACAGAUUUUGUCAAAAAAUAUGUGUAUAUAUAUAUAUUUAUAUGUAUAUGUAUAUGAGUAUACAUAUGUAUUAGGCUCCCAAGUCUUUUUCAGGUCUACAGUUGGAUAUAUAUAUAUAUAUAUAUAUAGGCUGGAUAUAUGUGUGUGUAUAUAUAAAUUGGCUGGACUAUAUAAAUGCUUGCAAGCCCUAGGAGCGAACCCAUCUCAAGUGUUCCCAAAAUAGAGAAAAGGCAGCCGAGAAGGGAGAGAACAAAUAUUCAAGUGCUAUUCUUUUACUGGAGAACUAACAGAUAAGAUGCCGGAUUACGAAGGCAACGGUGGAGAUGAUCUAGAGAACUACGGUGGCUCUUCUCCUCAACCCCGUAUUAACAGUCACGGAGGUGCCGAUGAUUUUAGCGACUCCAGAUCUCAAGUACUUUCGAAUUCUUAUGCAAAUUGAUCUUUUUCUUUUUGUUUCUGAUUUGUAUAUACGAAGGCAUAGAAUCGAGCGAACUGCUUGUGUUUAUCGUAAUUGUUUUUAUUAUAUGUUUUUUAAUUGCAGUUGUUCACUUGAAAUUGCGACUAGUUAUGUAUUUAAUUCAGCAAUUGGCUGCCCUGAGAAUCGUUUUUGUUGUGAUUAAUCCAAUUUUUUGCAGAAAUAUGGGUUUGCUGAUGUCUUUUUGAAUGCAUGUUGUAUUAUAUACUUAUUACUCAAAUUAACUGGGGGUUUUACGUUUUUGAUGUUUCAGUUGAGGAAUUAUUAAAAAAAAAUUCAUCAUAGACAAUUGUAUUGAGAGGUUUACUCGAUGGUGCGGGUUAUUUAAUUGGCAACAUUUUUCUCUAUCUGGAAAUAAGUAUUUCCUCUGUUCACCUCAUUUAAUGGCUUUACUGCCUUUUGUUUUGCUAAUGUGCUGAUGCAUUUCUUAUAUCUCUAGCAGCAUUCUCGUGAUGGUGAUAAUAGAGAAAGAGGGUCUUCUAGAAGCAGGGACAGGGAUAGGGAGAGGGAGAGGGGGAGAGACAGGGAUAGGGACAGGGACCGUGAAGGUGAACGAAGCAGAGAUAAGGACAGGGACAGGGAUAGGGACAGGGAACGUGAUAGGGAUAAGGAUCGGGAUCGUCACCAUCGGGACCGAGAUCGCCACCGGGAUCGAAGUGAGAGAAGAGAGAGGGAGGAGAGGACUCGAGACAGAGAUGAUGAUGGUGAUUACCAUCGGAGUCGGGAGUAUGAUAGGUGAGAAAAGUCAUUUGCUGUUGAAAUUAUUAUAUGUAGAUCUUAAUUCUGUACAAUUCUGUCUUGAAUAUACUUGUUUGCUAACUUUUUAAACUGAGGAAGUUCUUUAAACUCACUCAUCAUUUGUUUGUUCAAGACGAAGAGAUUAUGACAGAGAUAGAGAAGAGAGGCAGAGGCAUAGGUCCAGAUCUCGAGAGGGGAGGGCAGAACACCGAUCAAGGUCACGGUCUCGAUCACGCUCCAAAAGGUAGGUUCCAGGGGAUUUCUUCUUGUUUGUAAUAUGUCCUUUUAUGGAGAGCCUAUAAAUUUUAUAAUAUGUCUGUUGGUCUGUAAUGAAGAUUUUUGUUGUGGAAACUAAAUCACCAUAUUUAAUCACUCUAUAGAUAUAAGAUCUGAGAUAAUGAGAGUAAAUGACACAAGGAACAGAUAACAUUUGUUAUAAGUGUGGUGCUAUCCUUUUGCUCUUUGCUGUCAGAGAAUAGUGUUGUAGUUGGACUUUGAAGCUGUGAAGUGAAAUUUUUAGGAUGGUGUUAUGUUUGUGUCCCAGAAACUGUUCAUUUAGUUAGCUGAUCCUUUUACAUAUACAUUUUGCUUUACGUGCAAUAAUUUGAUUCUCAUGGUUUUAAAUAGUUGCAGGGUUGGAAAGGAAUGUUGUGGCACAAAUUGGGUUGUAUUACAACCCUUUUUGUAGCUUAUUUAUUUCUAAUUUGACUGAAACUGUAAUAGAGUAUGUGCUGGAAAAUUCCCAAACUAGCUUGUGCAAUGGUUUGAUGAACCUCUUUUCUGCUAAUCCCUGACGGGAACUUAGCAAAGUCUAUAAGGGUAAUUUUUUUUUUGGGUUAAUCUGAUUAGUGUAUAGAUUGAUGUUAACCGCUUUGUCCUGUUUCUUUUUCUGUUUCUUUGGUAUUAAUGAAGCAUCUUUACAGUAAAAGGAUCAGUGGCUUUGACAUGGCACCUCCAACUAAUCCCUUGAUGCCUGGUGCUACCUCUCUCCCAGGUAUAUGUUCUGUGGGUUAGUUUUCUAUUUAAUUUUGAUAACUUUUUUUUCUCUGUCUUUGCCAUAGUGUGGAAAAGUUCGUACAAAAUUCAUGCUUUCAUUUUGGUAAGCGUCCCUUGUUCUUUAAUCUGUAACUGCAUUGGUAUAAUGCUUGGGCCCUAGUUCCGCUGUUCAGUAUUUAUUUUUCUUAUUGCUUAUACUUGGUGAAAAUUUUCUGAGACUGAGAGGAUUUUUGGUUUUUUGUUGUGUUUGGUGUUUGUUUGUUUGUUUUGUAUGUCUUGGUCUUAAUAUCUAAGAAGGCAAUAUUGGGCUACUAGCCCCACUGUGCUGACACUGGGCGUGAGCCGACUUCUGUAGCUUUUAUUACAAGGAAGAAACAAUCAGGUCUUCUUCAUCUUCAACCAGGAUAUGCAUGUUUGGUAGUUUCAUAGAUAUUUUACCCAGAACAUGAAUAUUUGUAUCCAUUUUAGUUAUUAUUUCAAUUAUAGGAAGAAGAAUUUGAUUUAACUUAAUUAGGAGUAUAGUUAAGAUCAUUUGCUGGAUAUACAAACUUAAAAUUCUUAGGAAGAUGGCUUUCUGUUUUAUUUUCUGAGAUGUAAUUCUUUUAGCCUUUACAGGUCAGGUAACUGGUACUGCUCCUGCUGUUCCUGGAGUCUUUCCCAACAUGUUUUCAUUGCCAACUGGACAGGUACUUAUCUGCCUUCUAUAUGUAAUGUUUUUAAUGCAGUUUACCAUUUUUUUUACCUUGAUUUUAUUUUUGUACUCCUGGCAGCUUGGAGCUCUACCUGUUAUGCCAGUUCAGGCUAUGACUCAACAGGUUGGUAUAUGUUCUUGAAACCUUCCCCCCUUCCCCACCCCCGGUUUUUCUCUCUCCUACUUUGCUUUCUACUUAUCAAGUUUUAUCUUGGUUCUCUGCUUUUCUAUGUUGUCUGAAUGUUUUUUUAUUAGGCCACUAGACAUGCUCGACGAGUGUAUGUUGGUGGACUUCCUCCAACAGCUAAUGAACAGGUAGUACUCCCAUUCCUCGACUUAAUUUGGAACAGUUCGUUUUCAGAAGUUUAUUUGACCUGUUGAAUGUGUCACAUAUUCUACACUUACUGAUGAUGAUCAUUUUUUGAAUGUUUACUUUUGAAUUAUUCAGUCUGUUGCGACAUUCUUCAGUCAUGUGAUGUCGGCAAUUGGAGGAAACACUGCUGGUCCAGGUUAGUUUAUGUAUCUUGCCUUUCUUAUCAGAGUUCAUGGCUUGUAAGUUUCAGAAUUUAAGAGUAUUCCUGGUCUAACUUUCAGGGGAUGCUGUUGUAAAUGUUUAUAUUAACCAUGAGAAGAAAUUUGCUUUUGUGGAGAUGAGGUCAGUUGAAGAGGCUAGUAAUGCCAUGGCAUUGGAUGGCAUUAUUUUUGAGGUAAGUAAACAUUUUAAAUCUUUUCCAAAAGUUUCCUUUCCAUCAUUUUAUCUAUUUGGUUUCCCAUUAUUCUAAAUCUUUGAGCAGAUAGUACUUUACUUGCAAUUUGUGCAUAUAUUUCUACAAGUCUUUACUCGUUUGUACUUGAAUAAACCUCCCAGGGAGCACCGGUUAAGGUGAGAAGGCCCAGUGACUACAAUCCCUCAUUAGCUGCUACUCUUGGUCCUAGCCAGCCCAAUCCAAACCUGAACCUUGCUGCUGUUGGACUGACCCCUGGUUCUGCUGGUGGGCUUGAGGGCCCUGACCGUAUUUUCGUGGGUGGUCUUCCCUAUUAUUUCACGGAAGGGCAGAUCAGAGAGCUGCUAGAGUCUUUUGGGCCCCUUCGUGGUUUUGAUCUGGUGAAAGACAGAGAGACUGGAAAUUCCAAGGGCUAUGCAUUUUGUGUUUACCAGGAUUUAUCAGUGACUGAUAUUGCUUGUGCAGCACUUAAUGGGAUCAAGAUGGGUGAUAAAACCCUCACUGUUAGGCGUGCAAACCAGGGAGUUACACAACCUAAACCUGAGCAAGAAAGUGUUUUAUUGCAUGCACAGCAACAGAUAGCUUUACAGGUAAAACUUUUUGUUUGCUUUCUUAUUCAUGAGUGACUGUUUAAAAUCAUCUUAAUAGUUGAAAGACUUGAAAGUCUUUCUUUUUGAGGAACACAAUUGGGAUUAUACUUCUUAUGGCUGAUUACAAGUGUGCAUCGGGCACACACUUGCAGAAACUCAUGCUACAACCUGGGACACUGGCCACAAAGGUUUUAUGCCUGACACAAGUGGUCAGUGCAGACGAGCUAAGAGAUGAUGAGGACUAUGCAGAUAUAUUGGAAGACAUGAGAUUGGAAUGUGGGAAAUUUGGUAUGUGCCUGAACCUUAAGCUCAAUUGCUUUUUUCUUCUACAUCAUUUUUUUUGGGAAGGGGGGUUGGUGCUGUUCUUGGGUAUAGAUACUUUUUGUGUUAUACCUCUGUUUUGCAGUCCUUUUCUAGUACUACAUUCUGCUUAUCUGAAACGUUGAUAUGCUGAGAGGGGAUUUUAUUCUCUAUCCCUUGCAUUGGAAUUUUUGGUUUGCCCCUUUCUCGUUUAUAGACUUGAUACUAAUUUUCUUUUUUAAAUUUACUUUCGCAGGUACUUUGGUGAACCUGGUUAUCCCACGGCCAAGUCCCACUGGUGAUCCAACACCAGGUGUUGGAAAGGUUAGUUGGAGCUGCAUGCAUCUCUUACAUACAAUUGUGGAUUCAUGUUAGAUCGAGUCAAUUUGAAAUUGGGCUCUUUUUUUCCCCCUUUUCAGUCGUAAUGAAACAUUCCCUUUUUGUGGUAGGUGUUUUUGGAGUAUGCUGAUGUCGAGAGUGCCAACAAAGCUCGUCAAGGAUUGCAUGGAAGAAGAUUUGGUGGGAAUCAAGUAGUUGCUGUGUUUUAUCCAGAGAAUAGGUUCUCUCAAGGUGAUUAUGAUGGUUAAGCGGUGGCCGCUACUGGUUUUGAAGUUACCUUAGAGAUGCUUGAGUACCGUUAUAGGCUUGAUGCGUGCUAUCCCAUAACUCGUACAAAAUUAGGAAGUGAUACAGAUAUAUUAUUUUGGUUUAAGCUUAGUACUCAGAUUUAUCUCUUGGAUUUUAGGGUUGCAUUUGUACUUGGAUUUUUGGAAUGAUUAUCGAACUUCGCUUUUGAGUCUUGAGUGUCACCUUGAGUCUUCGAUUUGGAAUGUCGAGUUAGGUUUAAAUUUUAAUUAUGGGUUUCUGCGACAGUAACUGAAAUCACACAAGAUUAGGUUCUUCCAAACGGCCAAUGUCGGUCGCUUUAUUGGUAGGUUGCCUGCGGAGAAACGUUUUUGGUUAUAGAACAGAUAGCUGGGAUAGAACGAUUGAAAUAACGAUUUCAAGAUAUUGAUCCGAGAUGCAUCUUAUCUUAAUCUAAAUUGGGAUUUGGCUGGUUAUUGAGACUAGUGGAAAAUUAUGUUGAGAUGCCGAUUGAAAAGUCGUAAUGUUUAAUUGGAAAGGCAACCUGGGAUUGAGUUCUGAAUAGCUUGAAAAGGAACAAGACGUUACAUUCAAAACCCCCUUAAAGUUUAAGAAAUUGCACUUAUCUCCCCUAGUGUUGUAAAAUUAGUCCAAGCAAUAACUCUCACAUAUUGCUUUUUUUUUUUUUUUUGAAGGACCCUCACAUAUUGCUUUACACCAUUAAGCACAAAAAAAAUUUUUUUUUUAAUAAAACAAUAUAAUGAUACAGAUAAGCAACGGCAAGUUAUUAUUGUUUUCUCUGUCCAAAACUCAUGUCCUUCUAUAGAAUUAAACCUUCAUGCACAGCACAACCAGCAACUCUUUUGCUUAAUUCCUGGACUGACCCAUGCUGCUAGCCUCCUCUGUUGCCUUCAUCGCCCAAUUACCCUAAAACUUUCCUUAAAUUUUCCUUAAAACUUUCCCUUUAUUUACGAAGCCAUGCCUUCCCAAAAUCAUUACUAGUUACGAAUCCUCAAAAGAUCCAUAACAAAACACCUAAAACCCUAGAAGAUGUCUUCCCGUCUCGCCCUCCACCACGGCCGCCACCUUUCAACUUCCGCCGCCGCCGCUGCCACCGCAGCCGUCGAAGCAGCAGGGGCUUCUACUGCCACCUCCACAAAGCCGUCUACCAUCAGCACUUCCAGAGCCAAAUCACAACUCAGAUACGUCUACGACCCCGACAAAGCCCUCGAAAUCUACUCUUCAGUCUCCCCUAACUAUACCUCUCCGCUCUCCUCUCGCUACACCCAAGAGUACACCGUCCGCCGCCUCGCCAAAUCCCACAGAUUCUCUGACAUCGAAAACUUCCUCGAAUCUCACAAAAAUGACCCCAAAAUCACUCAAGAACCAUUCCUUUCUUCCCUCAUUCGAUCCUAUGGUCUUGCUGGUAUGUUUGAUCAUGCCCUCAAAACUUUUAAUGAAAUGGAUGAUCUGGGUACCCCCAGGUCAACUGUUUCCUUCAAUGCUCUCCUUUCUGCUUGCAAUUCGUCCAAAAAUUUUGGACGAGCCCCUGAGCUGUUCGAUGAAGUGCCUCAAAGAUAUGGGCUUUCGCCGGAUAAGUUUUCAUAUGGGAAUCUGAUCAAGGCUUAUUGUGAAAUGGGAUCGCCCGAAUCAGCGCUGGAAAGGCUGAAGGAAAUGGAGGAGAAGGGCAUUGAGAUUACAGCUGUUACUUUUACUACCAUUAUGCACUCGUUCUAUAAGAAAGGGAAGAAUGAAGAGGCGGAGAGAGUGUGGAGUGAGAUGGUGAAGAGAGGGUGUCCAAUUGACGUCGGGGCAUAUAACGUAAGGAUUAUGCAUAUUCAUGGAGAGGAUCCUGAUAGUGUGAAGGGGCUAAUUGAGGAAAUCAGUAGUGCAGGGUUGAAGCCGGAUACUAUUAGUUAUAAUUAUUUGAUGACUAGUUAUUGCAGGAGUGGGAUGAUGGAUGAGGCCUUCAAGGUUUAUGAGGAUUUAGAGGGGAAUGGGUGCAAACCAAAUGCCGCAACUUUUAGGACGUUGAUAUUCUAUUUGUGUAAGAGGCAGAGGUUUGAGACUGGGUACAAGGUGUUCAAAGAGAGUGUGGCGGUGCAUAAGAUUCCAGACUUUAAUACCUUGAAGCAUUUGUUAGAAGGAUUGGUGAAGAGGUCAAAGUUCAAGGAAGCGAAAGGGAUGAUUAGGACAGUAAAGAAGAAGUUCCCUCCUAAUGUUGUGAAGGCAUGGGAAAGGCUUCAGAAGGAACUUGGUUUGGUUAGCGCCGAAGCUAAUGAGGUUGAUUUGGAAGAGACAUAAAAGGAGGAGGAGAGUGUUUCUGGAAAAUUUGGUUCCCAUAGGCUCAAAAAGAAUUCCACUUGCAUCUUGCCAAGUGUGUGGCGAGGUUGAAUUUCAGUUGUCCUGAAGCUGGAAGUCAGCAUGUCUUGCUGCUUAAUUGCAAACUUGAUUCUGAAAGCUGACUAGGAAAAGUCCCUUGUGGAGUUUUGAUAGACCUCUUAUAGAUGUCCAAAUUAAAUGCUACUUCACUUCUUAAGUUGGUUUAUCUUCAUUGGCACGAAUUUGUUGUCUUUCGAUAUUUGUUUCCCUGUUUUUGAAGUGCUUACUGACUGCCUAACUAGAUGUCCAUAUGGAACGUGGCCCCUAAAUGGUUUCUUGCUACUUCCGAACUGAAUUGAUGUAGUAGUCAUGGUUAAUUUUUGGUAGUCUUGUUUAACUAAAUAUAUAGUUACUAAAGAUACUCAAUCAGGUGGUAACCUAGACCGAAAUGAAAAUUUGUUGCUGAAUGCAUCUGCUGCAUUUUUUGAAGUUCAUAUGCAUUUCAUCUCAAGGAUUUUCGAGGUUAAACUUUAAAGUGCGCUUGAUGGUGUUGUCUAUACUAUUGCAUUCUGCUGCAUUGAGCAACAGAUGAACGAUAAACUGGAUCUAUAGUCUCUGUACUGCUGUAGUACUUGAGAUUAGUGUCUGAUAAUUUCUCUUCAUCUUAACGCUUGCAGCUAUCUAUUUCCCUUGGUCACCUCUAUUCAUCCAAAAAAAAUGCUGAUUGAGGAUGCUUGGCACGCACCGUUACGUCUUGACGUGCUUGUCUGUGCUCUCUGUUUGCUUCAAAAUUACUCUUAUUAGCAUAUUUUACCAUCCUUUGAAGAUAUCAGCUGUUGUCUGGAACCUGUACCUAUAUGUAUCUGGAGUGUCCCCGGUGAUGAUAGGUUAUGACGUCCUUGCUUAUUUUAUCCUUGUGAAGAUCACUGAUGAGCCUAACUUCAAGCGUUGGAAGUAUUUUUAGCUACUAGGGCUUUUGUUUGGUUGGUAAAAAUGAGGGACAUGGCAGUACCUUUGGACCGUGGAAAAUGGUGGCUUGUUGGUAGGCAUUAGACAAGCUAGCCACAUCUGUGAAAUUGCUGAAUAGCUAAUGACUAGCAAAGAGCUUAUCCAGUAAAUGUCUCCUAAUUUGGGAAAAAAAAUUUUACGUCACAUCUUUUGUUUUGCCACAAUAAAGGAAAACGAAAAACCGAAAAAAAAGAGGAAGAAGAAGAUGCUCGACUGAAGAAUCAGAGCAGAAACGGGCGCUUGUUGAAGAGGAUAGCCUCGAGAGGCCGAUGGAAUUGAAACAUGAUAUUAUAUACACAAAUCAUGUACAUGUAUAAAAUAAAAAUUAUUCAACAUUUUGAGACAUUGAGACACAACAUAAGCAACACAGUCUGACUGAGGUAAAAUGAAUUUUGCGCCUAUAAAUAGAAGUAAGGGCCCACUGGAAGCACCAAAAAAAAAAAAUUUUUUUUUAAACUUAAUUUAUUUUUUUUUCCUGAGUAAUAUAUGUAUAUAUUGAUGUACAGGUAUGUGUAGAGUGUACUUUAGUAUUUUGGGUUAGGGAAAAUAGACAAUUUCAUCUCUGAACUUUUUUAUUAGUGUUGAUUUAGUCCCUAACUUUUAUUCCUAGUCAAUUUGAUAUGUGAACUUAUUUUGCAUUUCCAGUUAAUGACUCAUGUGGCGGCUUCACCACCUAAAACUAAUUUGGCUUUUAAUUGAUCAAUUAAAGAAGGGUGUUUUAGAAACAUCACUUACGAGGUUAUAAAAAAUUAAGUAAAUUGUGUAAAAAAUCACAAUAUCAAACUUUAAAAAAGUUUUAUCUAAUGAUUUUUUACACGAUUUAAAAGUUUUAUUUGGUGAUUUUGUUAUACCAUUUACUUGUUUUAUUACAUUCUCGUGAUAAUACUCCUGUUUAAUUAGUCAAUUAGGAGUCAAAUCAAUUUGAGGUAGUGGUGCCACCGCGAAGGCACUUAAUUAGAACUGCAAGAUAAGUUCAAAUAUCAAAUUAGUCAGAAAUAAAAGUCAAGGACUAAAUCAACACUAAUAAAAAAUUUAGGGACGAAAUUGGGCAUUUUUCCUUUGGUUAAGCAGUCCUCCUACACUUUAUGUAUCAAUCAAAAGAGUCGAAGCCUGUAGGCGGUGGUUAGUUAUACAAAUGCAGGGUGUUAUCAUUCAACGGAAACGGACUGUCCAGUUUACCACAACAAUAGUAUCAAACUGAACGAAGCUAGAGCGUAUCAGAGGCGGCACAGAGGUUAAAGGCGAUGACAACUCGAAUUGCUCCUGGUGUCGGAGCUAACCUCCUCGGCCAACACUCCGCCGAGCGCAACCAAGACGCAACUGCCUAUGUCGGCAACCUUGACCCUCAAGUACUCUCUUCCCCCUCCCCCCCCCCCCCCCAAACCUCUCUCCCUGGCUCAUCUAUUCUCUUCAGCUUCUAAGCACAAACUUCACUUCUUUAUUUCGGUUUCUCUGAACCCCGUAUCCCUCUUUUCGUUUUCUUCUGUCCUUUGCUUUCCUGUCUUUGUUUAGUUCUCAGAGGAUUCUUAUUAGUUGUUAGCAACAUCGUUUAGGUUUUUAAACUGUCCUCUGGGUUUAAUUGUUCUUUUGUAAGUUAGGGUUUUGUGUUAAUUAGCUGGCAAGGCAAAGACAAAUGCCUUCGUUGAUUUUUUUUUUUUUUUUUUGAAAAUGUGGAUAAACAAAUUUCUCAGCUUUCAAGUUGGUGGGUGUUCAGAAACGUCACACUUGUGUCAUUUGAUGGAUGUAUGCUAAUGAUAUGUCGUGGUCCUGAUCAAGUUUAAUGAGUUCAGAGGGUGCUAAUUGCUUCAUCUCUGGCCUUUUUGUUCAUUACAAGAAUCUAGAUAUCUCGUCAGGCUAAGUUUGCUUCUCUAUCCAAUCCAAUCACGCGAUUUUUGUGGAGCACCAAACACUGCCUUGAGAACGAACACGGGUUCAGUAUUCCUUGCUGCAAUUUGUUAUAUAGGGAAUCAUAUGAGAAGCAUGCUCCACUUUUUUGAUGGAUUAGAUUAUUUGGUAUUGCGUAUAAUGACUGUGCUUGGAGCUUGCAAAUGGUAUGCCAAUGAAAUCGGAAGACAUGUUUGUUGUGCUACUUGCUCAAAUUAUGCUAAGUUUCUUGAUGGAUUUUGAGUCAUAAACCAGCAUGAUGUAUGGUAAAUGUUUGUGUUCUGCAUUGCCCAUUUGUUGUGUGAAUAUUGAACUGUUUGAUUGACAGUCAAUUUUUGCUUUCGAGGUUGUCUUGUCAGAUGCAUUUUCCAAAAUAGAUAGUCUAUUUUUAACAAUUCCGGAUUACAAGUCUCUCAUUUUCUGAGGAUUUAACAAGGCAUUUCUUGGUGUUUUGUGUAUCCCUUGGCUGUCCCAAUUGUUGCUUAGACACAGAGGUUGAUGGAGCUAAUACUCAAUUACAUCUUGUUCUUUUCUUUUUUCCAUCUUUUGUAGGUUUCAGAAGAAUUAUUAUGGGAAUUGUUUGUCCAAGCUGGGCCAGUUGGUUAGUUUUUGGUUUUCUUAUUACCUAUCAAUAUAUGCACUUGCACCCAUAUAUAUCCUUAUUGCUGCAACAAAUCUUGUUUUUCUGCAACUCGCAGUACAAAAGCCUAUGUUUUUCCAACUUAAUUUCAUUUCAAAAAUUUCAAGAUCUUCAAUAUAUUGCCGUUUGGUUUUGCAUUUGUUGCUCAGAAAAUUUUUGUUUAUUACAGUCAAUGUGUAUGUGCCCAAGGAUAGAGUGACAAAUUCACAUCAAGGCUAUGGCUUCGUAGAAUUCCGAAGUGAAGAAGAUGCUGACUAUGUGAGUAAUGGAUUAGUUGUUCACUUGGCUGUAGCAGACUUAUAUUCUGUGUGCUUACAUCUAUUUUUCACCUGCAUCUUCAAGCAUCAUUAUGGUUCCUUAAUUGCUCUCUUUUUGCCUUUGAUAUGGGUUGGCUAAUUAUUUCUGGUUCUUCAGUAUUACUAACCGUGUUUUGAAGUGAUUGCAAGUUCUUCAGUUCUGAUUCUGCUUGUUUUGAUCUCCCCCAAUACCUUUGCAGGCUAUAAAGGUUCUCAAUAUGAUUAAACUGUAUGGGAAACCAAUACGAGUUAAUAAGGUAUAAAUUCAAGCUUAAUAUUUUGUUUUGACAUUCUUAUUAGCUUAAGGCUAGAAAUUUUUUAACUUCAUGUUAAAUUCUUUAAUAUUUGAAGUUCUUGUAUUCUUUUGCCUGUGCAUUCUUAGGCAUCACAAGAUAAGAAGAGUGUGGAUGUCGGUGCAAAUCUUUUUAUCGGGAAUCUUGAUCCUGUAAGAAACUUGACCUUUUGAUUAAUUCUUAGGUAUAAUCUGCUUGCCUAAUAUCAGUAAAAUUUUAUUCUGUGUACAUGCACUUCAGCCUGCACACUUGCAUUAGGGUGAAUUCUUGCUGUAACGUCUUAUGGUAGUUCUGCAGAUCUUCCAGUGCUUUUGUACCGCCUGUAUACACUUGCAAUAACUUCCAUGUUUGUGCAGGAUGUUGAUGAGAAACUUCUCUAUGAUACUUUCAGUGCAUUUGGAGUCAUUGUUACCAAUCCAAAGGUAACGCCUUUACUCUUAUGCUUUGUAUGAGGUUUUACCCUAGGCAUAAGCAGCUAAUCUUUAAGAGGCUGACUUCAUUUUAUUGAUUUAGUUCAUUUCUUUGUAUGUCAUUGUUUGUCUUUGUUGGAACUUCCAAUGUUCAAGUUUUGGAAUAAUCAAAUAUUCGAAAUGUUUCUGUGAUGCGUAUUUAGAAAAUAUUGAUAUGAACAACAACAAAUAUGCACCUUAUAUUAUAAGUUGUCAAAGGAGAGAACUUUGGAUGGUAUGCUGAUUAUUUGAGGGAUUAAUAGCCUAUGGUUGUAAGAUUAUGAAAGUCUAACUGGAUCUGACAUUACUUGACAACCAUAUAUGAGUCAAAUAUAGCCAGAUGUACUUUGGGAGCCAAGUCAUCCAAAUAGCCAUGGAGGAGUUACAAAAGCUAGGAUACUCAUAUUUGUUCUAGUGGGACCAAUUCUUGCUUGUCACAAAGCUUCUUACUUUAAUUUACAACCAUCUCCUUUUUUUUUCUCUUUUACCUCCCUCUUGUCUGGGGGCUUUUUAGCUCUACUUGCAUCAUUUGUGCUGUUAAAGUACUUCCGAGCAAAGUAGGGCUACAAAUCUAAGGCUGUCGAUGAGGAUUUGAAUCGAGAACAAAUGUUUCUUUUGGCUAAAACUAUUUCAUGCUGUUGUUGUUUGCCCGAGGAUAUACUGUUUUAGGAAUCACAGGCCUUAUCUACUUCUCAUGGUUGAUAGGGAUUUUUCUGGCACUGUUAAAUUGAACACAUUUAGGAAUUAUGUGUUUAUUGCUGUUAAAUUAUGGACCAUAGUGUGACAUGUUUAGUCUUGAAUCCCAUUUCCUCUAAGGUAUGAUGUUUGCUGUUAUUGCAGAUAAUGAGAGAUCCCGAGACAGGGAACUCACGGGGCUUUGGCUUUAUUAGUUAUGAUUCUUUUGAGGCAUCUGAUGCAGCCAUUGAGGUACUUUCUUUAACUGAAAGUUGGGGCUUCAUCUCCAAUUGCCUGAAGUUUUUAAAGGAGGACAUCAGAAUCUCAUUCUGUUCAUAUGUGGAUCCAAAUGAAAAUAUUCAUAAUUAGAUUACAUCAAGUCUAUCUUCCAGGAAUAUAAGUUUUUCCUUUUGUCUGGUUGGUGUCUGGAGCCCCCUUGAUUUUCAUUUAAUAUGGUUUUCAAUGCUGUUGUAACCUUUUUGAGCGGUUUUAGUAAUAAUAAAUUUUAGAUACUUUUUACCUUCAGGUUCCUAUAAUUGGGAAUAUCCAUAAUGCUGAUGCCUAGUGACUGAAUUUUUUUAGUCUGAAAAUUGUUGUUAUUAUUGUGGAUAUAUCAAUACUCUUUUGCUUAUGCUGCCUCAGUUUUUAUUUAGCUGCAUUAGUGGUGAUUUGGUGGAGUUGACAAAUAGCAUCACAUCCUUGCAAUCGAGGAUGUGUUGCUGUUUGGAAGUUCAAGAUUUUUUAUAUAGUGUCAUGGAUAAAUUUUGUCGGGACAAUUAGUUUAUGAAGCUAAUUGUGAGCAUUUCAAUAAUGAUUUACCUGAAAGGCAAUGAACGGCCAAUAUCUGUGCAACCGUCAAAUUACAGUGUCUUAUGCGUACAAGAAAGACACAAAGGGCGAGCGUCAUGGUACCCCUGCAGGUGAGAUUCUUUCUUUCUUUCAUUUUCUUUUUGUGGUGAUAGAAUAUAUCAGAGAUGGAAAGAUUAAGUGCUAUGCUUUCUGGGAAUUUAAAGUUGGUGCUUGUGUGGUUGGAAUUAAGAAUUUAAUUCUUUUAUCACGAUUGAUGUAUUGUGAGUCGUAUAUUACACUGCUGUUCAAAGUAAUGGUUUUCGAGGCUGUCCAUUAAGUUGAGCUUGGAUGGUGUCAUAUCCAUAUGCUUGUAAGUCGGAUGUAGAGGUGUUAAAAUGGGUGACUUGGGCGGGUUUGGGUUGGGUAAAAUGUGUAAUGGGUUUAAGUGAGUCAACUCAUUUAUACCCAUUUAAUUAGAUGGGUAUAAAUGGGUAAGUCAAAAAAUGAAUUGGGUAACCCAAUUACCCAUUUAUAACUCAUUUAUUUUAACUUUUUGCAAACUCAUUUAAAUUCAUUUUUGCAAACUAAGUUAUCAAUUUAUACCACUCUUUGUACCCAUCAUUAGUUUUAAAUAUUUACUUAUAAUGCUCAAUAAACUUAAUUACCAAUUUUUUUUAUUUAUACUCUAUGUCACAAAAUUACCUAUUAUUUAAUAAUUGAAUAAUACGAAUAUAAAAAUUUGAAUUAAGUACUAUAAAAAUUAAUAUAAAACUUAAUCCAAAAAUUUUGAACCCCUAACAUUUUUUUUCAUAUAUAAAUUUAAAAUUUCAUUUUAUAAAAAUAAGAAAAUAGGCUAAAAUUUAUCAUAAAUUGGUAAUGCUAAAAAAUGAGCAAGUUAACAAACUAAGAAAAAAUAAAAUAAUAAGAUAAAACCAACAAAUAAUAAUAAUAAUAAUAAUAAUAAUAAUAAUAAUAAUGUUAACAUCAUGACAAAAUGAAAAAUUUGAAAAAAAAAAGGUAGGGGAAAAGAAGAGACUUGGGGGGAAGAGAAUUUAAAUGGGUUAAUUGGGUUUGAUGGGUUAUCCAAUAAUACCCAUUUAUUAAAUGGGUAUUAUUGGGUAACCCAUUUAUACCCAUAUACAAAAAUUUAAGAUACCCAUACUCAUCUAUUCAUGGGCGGGUAUGGGUAAAUCUAGUUAAGUGGGUUGAUUUGCCACCUCUAGUCGGAUGGUAGCGAACAAUUUUAGUUUGGGUAAAGGCUAUGCUGUUUCUACUAAUUCCAAUUCAAGGAAUGAUAGUAUACCUUGCAUGGUUGGAAUUAGGAAUUUAGUUAAUUUUUUCAUAAUUGAUGGAUUGUGUCUUCAAUUACACUGAUCAAAGUAAUGGUUUUGAGGCUGUCCAAUAAUAUUAACUUGAAUGUUGUCAUCGCCAUAUGCAAGUUAUAAAAUGUCCAACCAUGGUUGGAUGUGCUUCGGUGUAGUUUGUCUUCUGGUAUUUUAAAUGCAGUAUUAAAAUUCUGCCCAUGCUAUGCAGAAAGAGUACUGGCUGCUAGUAAUCCAAAUGUGCAGAAAAGCAGACCACACACCAUGUUUGCAAGCGGACCUCCUACACUUCAAAAUGUUGCUCAAGCAAGUGCUAACAUUGCUGCUCCUGUCCCUCCACGGCCUUUUGCUAAUGGGAAUGUUCCUCCAACAUCCAUUCCACCAUUCCGACCACCACCUCCACAGGCUUCCAUGUUCCCGCCAAUGCCAUUGCCUCCACCACAAUCAUGGCAGGGUCAACAACCACCAGGUCAAACUGCCUUACCUCCACCUCCAAUGCAGCAGUUCAGGAGCAUGCCGCCUCCACCUCCACAAAUUGCUCCAGCUUUACCAAGGCCUCCACCACCACCAGUAGGCAUGGUGACUGCUCCAAAUGUGUGGCGGCCACCACCACCUCCUCAGCAGUUAGGUGGUGGGCCCCCAUCUAUGCCACCACAUCUGCCACCCCCUCCUCCGGGCAAUUUUCCCCCACCUCCCCCUCCUUCAUAGAAGCUGAAAGUAGAUCAACAUUAUGCCUUGCCACUUAACUUUAAAACUUGUGUGUUUCUGUUAUAGAUAGCGUAGCAAUUUGGUUCCUGUUUAGCAUUCAAAAAAUAUGGCUGAUGGUUAUUAACAAUUUUGCUCUCUUGGGUUGAGAUCUGAUGAUGUUUUCUACUGGCACUGAAUUGAAGGGUGAAUGUGAAUCCGUCAUUCUCAUUUGGAUAUCUCAGAAGAAGUAAGCAGGUUAAAAAUCUUUAAUGUUGCAAUCUCUAAACAGAUUUUCGUAGCUUAGUGCUGUGUUGUAUGACUUGCUAAAUGCUCCAGAGUCUCCGAAUGUAGUGGCUGCACGGUCAAGACUAUUGAUAUAACAACUAAAUGAAAGAUAAAUUUCUGUAUCUGUUAAUCUUUGAACAUCGAAUUUCUACUAACUACGGAUGCAUUCCUUGGGCGGCGCUCCGUAAACUUGCAAGGCAUAAUUUAAUAGUUUGUAAUUGAACUAGUUCUUGCAGCACGAGAAUCGAAUCAGCUCUUCUCCUGCGACGUGUUUUCGAAGUGGUGAUGGUCUUGUUUUCGAUGGAUGUCUUACGUUAGCAAUAGCUAAACACCGAUAUCAGACUAAAACACAGCGAUGUCAACCCACGAGAUUUCAAUCCAAUGCGAACUUGUCUUUGUUUUGGCUAGAGUUUCAUGGCUGCCCCAACCCACGAGAUCCUCCUAGAUGGAUAUAAUUUGCUACACUAAGCAUAUCAUCAAUUGGAGUUUUUGCUUCUUUUUUUUUUUUUUUUUAGCAAAGUAUUUUAAUUAAAUGGAGCCUUCAGUUUUAAAGGUGAUGUAUGAUUUUCUUUUUAUUUUUUAUAUUUUGUUUUCUUCAUUCCGAUUUUUUGAUGUAGUUUUUUUUCCCAACAUAUAGAGAUAGUAAUCAAGUAAGAUGCAAAUAAACGAAGAAAGAAGAAAUAGAACCUGACUCUAAGGUUGUAUGCCUGUGCCUCGUAGCAAGGGUUUAAUGACGAGUUGGGGAUUCUGAAACCUGGAGAGCCGCAGUCCACAGGAAAUGGAAUAAGGUUGCGUCAGUUGAUUUGGCUUUCUCUUAUAUUUGGGCAGCCAAUGAAUUUGUUUGGACAACAAAAAUUUGGAAUAAAAAUUUCAGAUUUUGUUUUGCUUGCAUCAUACACACAAUUCUGUUAUGGAAUUUCUGAGCCUUGUACGGACAGGUUAACCUUUUCGUAACAAUGGUAUCAGAGCCAGGCAACGAACCCAACAUCCCAGGUUCGAAUCUCGUAGAGGCUCUGCCUCCUUGAAGGGGGAGUCCCAAAAUUACCAGGCCGUCGAGGGCGUCGGCCUCUAAGGAGGGACGUUUGUUAUGGAAUUUCUGGGCCUUGUACGGACAGGUUAACUUUUUCGUAACAAAUUUCCAAUCACCUUUUUAUCUCACAUACAUCACAUCACAAAAAGUGCUACACUAACUGGAUCAAAUAAAUUCUUAUCCAAACAAACUCAAUGAUAUUUCCUGUCCAAAUUUGGUCUAAUCGAACAAACAACAAUGGAAAAUGUGAUGUUCCUGGCACAGUGCUUUUAUUCUAGGGAGCAACUUGUCUCUGCAAAUCAUGAUUAUUCCUGGAAAAAAAAAUGCUUUAUUACAGACGUGUACUCUACAUACAAUUGUUUACUCGAGUAAAGUACUAAAAUUCUACUCCCCUAAUAUUUCCUUGUGUUGAAGAUUCAUUGCCACGUCUACUGGAUACAACCAUGGUUAGCAAUAUCGGCCGAUUCCAAUACAACUCGGCCGAGUUGUAAUCGGAAUAGAAGGGAUCGAUAUGAUAUCGAUUCAUGAAUUGCGAAUAAUAUCAUAUGUACAGCGACUUGUUCUGACUCCACCGAUAUUGAUCGAUUCGAAUAUGUGAUACAUGGUAUCGAUCGAUAUAUCCGAGUUGAUUCGGAUAUUUUUUUUAGAUUGUACCUUUUUUUAUAUUUUCUAAUUUAGUAAUUUUUGAAAAUUUUUAUGUGCUACAAUGUGCGUAUCACCCGAUCUUCAACUGAUAUGCCACCACGACGGAUGUGAAACAACCGUGACUGCGACCCACGACAGGCGAACCAUGCUUGUACCUGUGUUUGGGCAGGAGGUCCAGUCAGUUACAUACGAGAGUUCUGUUGGUAUCUGGUGUGCAGAAACUAGUGAAUUUAAAUUUAUGUGUCGAUGGCUCAUUAUUGCAACUGGAGAGAAUGCAGUACCGGCUAUUCCUGAUAUUGCUGGAUUGGGAGAUUUUCGAGGCAGAUUAUUGCAUUCAAGCAAUUACACAAAUGGAGCUGAGUUCAAAGGGAGUAAAAUUUUGGUCGUUGGUUGUGGAAAUUCAGGCAUGGAGGUUAGUUUGGAUCUAUGCAAUAGAGGUGCUCAAGUUUCUCUCGUUGUCAGAGACAAGGUAACUCAUCUUCAUCUAAUGCCAUAAUAGCUACAACGUUCUUGGAACUUCACUUCAGGAUGUCCAAGUAACUCGAUUCAUUUCAAGACUACCCAUUGUACCCAAGGGAGCAUUAAUUUUUACUCUCUCAAUGAAGUUGCUGAAAUGGUUUCCACUUUCCAGUAAGACUAGUGGAUAUUUCCUCAUCCUCUGUUCGGAGCUGAUUCUAGGAAACACCAAUAGACUUGGCAUUGAUAGACCAAAGGCAGGUCCAUUGGAACUAAAAAUAGCCGCUGGGAAAACUCCAGUGUUGGAUGUUGGAACAAUUGCUUAAGAUAAGAUCUGGUGAAAUCAAGGUAACCUUUUGGCUGUUUAUAAAAUUGCAGGCUCCAUGUCUCAUAACGAGCGUUUCCUCCUAAACUUAAGACGACAUACCAACUAAGCAUGUGUAUACUAUACUGGGAUCUGCUAAUGUUCGCUUGGUGGUUGUCUUGAGCUUAAAAAGAUGUUCCACCCGGUUUCUGGCUAAUGAACUUUUUCUGAAUAUUUGCCUUACUAAUGCAUUAUAUGCAUACUUCUACACUCAAGUGGUUCAUGAUAUUCAAAAAAUUAGACCUCAAGGUGCAGACUUUGCGGAUGGGAAAAUGGAGGAUUUUGAGUUAAUUCCAUAGAUUUAUGGACAGAAGAAUUUGAAACAUCUAAUGAUGAAGGGAUCCCAUUCAAUGUAGGCUCAGCAUACUUCUGUAUACUACAUUCUCUUUGUAUUUUAGCACAUCAAGCAUACCUAACCAUAGGUAGUAAAUGAAAUUGCAAGAUCUGCUUUUCCUUCUCUCGCAAAGUUAGAAAUUUCCAAUCCAAGAUUGGGAAAGCCUGUCAUUAUCCUCGUCUUUUGUCUUGUACUAAGCAGCGGACCUAAAGGAACACCACCCCUUUGCCCAGUCAGAGAAUUGUGAUGCCCUUUGUGACCAGAUCCACAAACAACAGGGAAAAUAGUCCAGAGUCUCCAGACCUCAAAGAGUCCAGACAUUUUUCGUCACUCGAAACAACUUUGUAGGGCUCUUUUCAAAUCAUAAACCGAACCAUUCAGUGACGGGUCUGGUCCCUCCCACUUUCACAGUGCAAUCUAAUCUGCCGUGAAUGAAGGGAUCAUCUUUGCAUCCUUCGCUCAAGAAAUCCAGUCAACGAAGUUGUUCAAAUUCAAAAAAAUUUCUCCAGACCUGAAUGAAAAAUAUGGACAGCAAUGUCAUUGCAUUGCAGCUGUGCUUGUCAUAUUCCAUGUAUCUCAUCUAUACCAUCGAUCAUUGGAAGGAAUACCAGAAGAUUCUUUAUCGUCAAAAAGUUUGGCAUUCCACUCUGUCUAUCAUGCCACAAGAAGUUUGGCAUUCCACUCAAGUCAUGCCACAAUUGUAAAGACAGCCAUUUUUUGAAAGACUUUCCGACUUCCUGCUUUGUGUUGCUAUGGCGGUAUAUGGAAAGGCAAAACUUAAAACUUCUGAUACAGAUCAAGUAUAAGAAUGAGCUGAAACAGUAGCCAAUUGUAUGGACUAUCUAUAUGCUGCCCAGGCUGUUCAAACAAAAAUUUUACAGAUCGAAAUUCAGGGUGCUUUCGGCACUUAAUGUUGGGAUUUUCGACUCCUCAGCCAAGUUCACAGCUGCAGAUAUCUGACAACAUAAUCAGAGGGAAAAGAAAAGCAAUCAGAUGCUGACACAUUAGACACGUUUAAUUACACUUAGGAACAAUACAGUAAAAGCAAUAAAGAUAUUGUGAUAGAAGGGAAAUCCAAGUUGUCAGGCUAGCACGCGAAAUGCAAAUUCAGGACUUCAAAUGCAAAAUCAGGAGAGUCCUUGAGUCAAUUGAUAUGUCCAAAACAUAAAAUGGGAACUAAAAUUGAUGACUUGGGAGAAAGAAACCAAUCUUAUACACUUAUCGUUGUCACAAAUUUGAUCAUAGAAUAUGCUUAAGCAAAAGAAACACAAAAUGCAGCUUUGACGAAAAGCCAUAUCAGGAGUUUUACUUGCAUCGUUAUAUCUUAAGCAGCCUCACAAAGAAACCUGCUCGGAUUGAAAAUGAUCUUCAGUAACAGUAAUAAUCUGGCCCAGAUUUUCUAACUUUAACGUCGAGAAAAUCUGAAAUGGUCCCGUCUUCAAAUCAUCUUAACAUUCUUAUCUCUCGUUCAAAAACAGAAACGACACAUUAGAUGUUAGCUGUAGAAAAUAAAUUAAACAGAAAAAAAAUUUGCACAGGAUUGUCACCGUCUGUCCAACCAGUUUCACUAGUAAUAAGUUUCAUAAUCUGAAACUAAAAGCACCAAAAAGCAGGCAGCAAAUAAAGUAAUAAUGUCUAUUUUAAUGUCUUUUUUAUCAGAAGAAAGUUCUUUUAUCUCUACUUAAUCAGCUAAGGCUGAAACCGGAAAGACUUUUAGAAGUAUUCUGAACCCCAAAAAAAAAAAAAAGGAACCUGUUGACCUUUCAAAGAUUUACAAGCAUUAUCAUACAAAGGCCCAAAUAUUUCGUGAAAGCUUGCAGAAAAAAAGAAUAUCUGGGAACAAUUCAAUGAUCAAAGCACAUAUACACAGCUGAUGAGGGUACGAGACUGAGAAUAUGAAUUUGAGCGAGUCCCAGUUCAGGCAAUAUGUGAAAAUCUAUUCCCGAAAUAGUCAGUGUCAAAUUGGAACAUGAGCUGAUACACUUACUCUUAGUCAGAGAGAGCCAAAGAUUGCCAGCUAAGUUGUAUGCUAUCCUAGCAAGCUUCUAUUUGAAAUUGAUUCCACGCAUGGCUUGGUAGUUUAUAGGUGACCCAAACCCAAGUUCUUUCCUUCUUCUAAAACUAAAAAGGUGGAGCUCAACUAAUCUCUAACCAAAAUGCCAUGUUGGCAUCACCAAUUCAAUUGCUUCUCCAGUUGUACAUUAAGCCAGCAAAGGCAUUCAAAUACAAAUUUCAAGUAGGAAAUAUACUAGUUGUAAUACGAUUAAUUGAAUAUAAACACUAGAUACAAAAGGGUCUACCAUACUAUACAGUUUAAUACCUGAUCCAACGAUAAUGUAUUAGGGCUAUUAUCUACCACUAACUUCAUUUGCAUGAUUCCUAAGUAAAGGCAAACACAUGGCAGAAAAGCAGUUUAGAAAGCACAUACCGAAGUAGUAUAAGUCAAACAUAGUUGGCAUAAAUUUUUCAAAUUGACGAAGUACCUGGACUUGGCAACACUGCUAAUCAUUAUACAUGGUGACAAAACAAAACCCGAAAAACACAACUCUCCUCGUCUAUAAAGCCAAAUACAUUUUUCACCAUGAAAGAAUAACAUAACACCAGUUCCUUAACCACAAGUUUACUCAUUUCCCAUCAUUACAGCGACGGAAAACUUGAAAACAAAGAACCUGACUAGAAAAAUUGAAACUAACACAUAAAAGCAUGCCAACGACAAUUAAACAAGGACAGAAAUUUAUGCAAAUAGAAGUAACAUACCUUAAAACUCCCGUUUAAGCUAGAAGUCCUGGUCCAGUCCAAUCCCAACACCUUAGUGGAGCUCCGAUAGGAAGCUCUAACCACAUCAUUCCCGUAAAUCCUACGGGAAACAGCAAAAUCCCACGCAUUCUUCCCGAAAUCAUAGCUGGGCUCCACAGUAGUCAAGCCGUCAUGAGUAUAACUGUACUUCAACAUGCAAUCAUUAUCCGAAUGAAAACCAUAACAAGCAGAAACCUUGUUAGCCGAGUCUAUCAGAAAAGUCCCAUCCAAUGCCGUCCGAUUCUCCCCCUUCCAGUGCGUGUACGUCAAGUUCAACGGCCUCUCCAUUACCCUCACCGUAUUCAUAAAUUCAAACCUCACGUCCUUAAACAUUAUACACACACAAUCAAAAAGAGAAUUCUUUCGUCAUUAAAACAAAGGGAAAAAAAAAAAAGAGCGGAAAUUAGAAAUCAGUAGUUAGGCUAUUGUUAGAGACGUACUUUAUUAGGGAAGUUGUAGUCGAUGGUGAAGGAGGCUGGCUUCUCAACGGAGAGAGUGAGGCCGUUCAACGAAGGUCCGUUGACGAAGCAGGCGUCGGUGAUGGAAGCUUUGAGUUUCACGUCGCCGCCGUCGAGGGUGACAGUGCCGACGGCGCCAGUGACGUCGCUAUCGUAGUGUCCAUUGAGCGCGGCUUUUAUCAUUUUCCUUUUUUUUUUCUUUUCCUAAUUUUUCUGGGCGGAAAUAUUUACGGAGGAAUUGAGGCGGGCGAGUGGAUUUUGCGGGGAUCCAUUUAUGGUUGUUGGGGUUUUUUAGGGGCGGUGGUGGAGGGAACGAGGGAAAGGUUUUUAAUAUUUUUUUUUUAAAAAAAAAAAUCUACACCACAGACUAGAGGCGGAUAUGGAUUCGGUGAGUCCGGAUGUCCUUGGACUUUUGUGCUGUUGUUUUCAGUUGAAAUGCAAUCCCUUUCAUCGUCCAAUUGAGCUGUGUGGACCAAUUGGGCCUUUUGCCUAAUUGUUUUAUUGGAUUGUAAGAUCCUCCAGAGUGGGCUUAAAAGGAUAGCUGGACAGCACACCGAAGGCUUUAUAAUGUCAGCUCCGCAACGCAAGACUUAUAUUUUGCGUGCGAAUUGGGAUCCAACGUAGCCAGAUUGAGGUGGGGAAAGGGCAAAAAAGGUAAAUAGAAAGGCGAAAGAAGAUUGAGGAUACGAGGACUCGACAAAUUAGAACUAAGACGAAGAACUACAAUAUAUAUGGUUAGGUCCAUUGGAGAUAACUUCAAUCUGUCGUGUGACGCUAAAAUUUACACCACAUCAUGAUAAUAUAUCAUCUGUCCAUUAAAUACAGUAGAACUUGUCUUCUCAUAUAGUGCAUUUGGCAUCAAGAAAACCAACAUGCUGAAUUGACAGCACUUAUUUUGACUGUUGCCCAAACGAGAACAAAGAAAGACGAAAAAACAUGUUUGUUUGUCCUUGUAGUAGAAGCUCAUAGUAAUCACAGUUCAACAUUUUGUCUUGUUUGGGGUACUGAUGUUUCUCUUCCUUUUUUCUUUUUUUUUUUUCUCUUUUCUUUCGUGAAGGAACUGAUGAUGUUCACGACCCAAAGCAAAAAGGAAUGGUCACCGGGGGGAUCCUCAAUCCUCAUCCAAAAGUGUUGAAUCCCUAAUUAUUCUUGCCAGGAUCGAUGCAUGACAAAACAAUACUGAUCCAACGGCCAAUUGCGACGAACCCCUCGAGAUUGCAGAGACGACGAGCGCUCAAUGUGUCUGCUAGCCAGCUGACUCACUACUAGUGUAUCAAUCAAAGCAAUCUAGAGGGAGCUAAAACCGGACUCCCCGGAACCCAGAUUGUGAAUCCGAUAGAUAAAAGAUCUGGAGCUUGUAAAUAUGCAUACGCUACCCGAAAAGAAAGCAAAACAUAUGAACAGAAAGCUGUAAAUUUUUUUGUUUCUGUAGAAAGCUGAGCUCCGUUUUCAGUCAGUUUCCUAAGAAGAGAAAAAGAAUCUCUGAUACCUUGCGAGUGUGACACUCACUAAAUUUUACCAGUUGGAGCAAACUGGAUUCUUGCAAAAACCUGCAGAUAGAAAAUGUUUACGGUGGUCCAGUGACGGGUACAGUUUUACACCUUAAAAAGGGUAAAAGGUAAUAAUCCUUGAGUGGCCCAUACGGAAUCAGCACGCCAAUGAGGCGCAAUUGUCAAGUGCUAGUAGUGUCUAUCCCUCGACUUUUACUGUUGGGUUCAGUCCCACAAUGACCACUUGCAGAAUUUUUUUUCACCUGAGACUGAUACUGAUGUAAUCCAACAAAGCGUUUGACAUGUUUUGCGAAGAUGAUGAAACUCGGGGAAGCAAGAAGUUCGCCGGUUAUGAAAAUGCUUUCACGGGCUUCCCUUUCUUGUUUUUGGGAUGAUAAUAAGUGAUUUUUACAGGACAUUCGACGGGAUAAGUUUAGGUACUGGCCUCUUAGGUUACGUCUUUUGGACGGUAUGGGAUAAACUGAGAGUUGUUCAGUUUCCACUAGGAUUUUUUUUGUGUAUUUUUGGCUGCUAAACUAUCCCGUUCAUUUUUAGGCACCUUGGCUUUAUCUCCUCGUUUUGUUGUACUUCUGAUUGCUUGUAUAUAUGGAGAAUUGGAGAUAUAUAUUUAUAUGUAUUGGAAACAGAGGUAACUAGUAGUAAUUUGUUCAAUAUAAUGCAACAAGGAUAAUUUAUCAUCUGCAAUGUUUUGUUUGACUGCAGGAAAAAAAAAAAAGCGUUUUUCAAACGAAGCCUUGUGCUUGCUUCUAUGUAUGUUCUUCUUCAUUCAUGGGUCUGCAUUUUAGCUUUAGCAUCUACUUUUAAAGAAUAAUUAAACUACGUUCCAAAAGUCCAAUUGAGGCACGUUAUACAUUUAGGAAACGUUGAGAACCUGAUCAUAUAAAACAAGUCGAGAUCCAACUCUCCCGUUUGAAUGUUUGGUUUGCUACAAGUACCUUGAUAGUUAUUCUUUUUAGAGUGUUUGCACUGAGGGAUGACUUUUACAGGAAAGCCUUCAGAUACUUUGAGAAAAGAACAUAUGCUUGCUUAUUCCUCAGAGCUAAAUCUUCUUUGAAUAUUCACUAUUCAUAUACUAUAUUCAUUUCCCGAGAAAGAAUCUGUUAUUUUUAUCAAUCGAAUUGAUGUGUAUAAAUAGGGAUUCGCACAUUAAUUAUUAUACCUUGUUUUUCUUUUUCUUUUUUGAUAAGAAUUAUUAUACCUUGUUGAGUAUAUACUAAAUCAUAUAAAAACAGAACAAUAGUCAUACAAUAGUUAUAGCCCCUCGGGGCUAGAUCGCGCGGUCUGUGGCUGCUUCCGGCACUCGCAGGUCGUGGGGUCGAACCUCACUUAACGCUUGGGUGCGGUUGGGGUGACGCUGUACUCCAGGCGCAGGGGAUUAGUCGAGCUGCCUUCGGGUCUUGACCCGGACACCCCUGUGUUGAUCAAAAAAAAAAAAAAAAAAGUCAUACAAUAGUUAUAGUUGGCGUACAUUUUUUCAACCGCAUUGGGACAGAAUCAGAAAUUAGUGCCAGGACGAGAAAAAAUAUUUGACAUGAUCUUUGUCUUCCAUGUUCCUUGACCAACAAGAUGUGACCCGUCGGAGGAACCAUUGGUGACACAAAAUCUUACUGUCAAAAAAAAAAAAAAAAAAAAAAAGAGGAGGAAAAAGAGCAGUGAAUUGAGGGUACAAGGACAAAUGGACAAACAAUGCAAAAUCCGUAGAAUAAGGGCCAGAUGAAGUUGUCACGUAGACCAUGGUCAGAUACUGUUCUUAAGUCGGUAUUAAUUUGUCUAAAAGCAUAUGCGCUUUGAAAUAUUGCACUGCCAAACAGGGACCCUAUCUACUGGUGUGUACGUUUUAUUUGUGGACACCAAUGAAGUAAAAGAAUGAUUGUCUGGUAUCAACCUCAAACCAAAGCGAUUCGAAAAGCUUUACUGUGGGGUGAGGAGAAAACAAAAGCCAACUGGGGCCUAGUUGUAUUCUUGACGAAAGCCAUGGGUAAACUGAGGAGAAGGUAAAUGUUACUGCUAAUUGAGGAUGAGUAGAACUCACCAGCAGUGAUAAUUCUAAGAAGCUUGCAGCCUGGCGAAGCACUGCUAUCAUUUCUUUGCACAUGGAAAUGAUUAAUGAUGGUCCGCUUCUAUCUUUACUCCUUUCUUUUUAAUUCUUUUGUUUUCUUUAAUACUUUUGGAAUCCAACUUUGGUCUAUGACCAAGACUUGCUCUGCUUCCUUUCUUAUACUCCUAACUACUUUUUAGUGAUGGUAGUAUGAAUGCUACUCAUGCUCUGUCUUCUAGUGAUGGUAGUAUAAAUGUUAAUUUUGGAUAAUGCUCCGUUUGGAUUAAUUGUUUUUGAAAUAUUUUACUGUAACAGUGUAUACGAAAAACUUUUACUAUUAAUAUUAUUUGAUAUAUUGUAUGAAUGAGAUUUUUUUUAGUUGUUUUUGUUUAUGCAUUACUGUAAUAUUAUGUUUGAAAAACUUGUUUUUGAAAAAUAGAUCAAUCCAAACAGAGGAUUAUUUCAAAUAUUAUUUUAUUUGCAUCACAAAUAUAUUUUCUAAUCAACUCUUUAUUUUAUCAAUUAUUUUUUUAUCUCACACACACCACAUUACAAAAAGUAUUAAAAUAAUUAUUUUAAAUUAUGUUUUAAUUAAUCUUCUGUCCAAACAGUCCCAUUGUUGUUUUUGUGGGUAAAUACACCAACUGUGUUUAGAUUGUAACAUUAUUCCAAGUUAUUUUUGUUUGUAUCAAAAACACAAUUUUCAGUCGCAAAAAAACAUACAUAACAUCCUGCAAAGUACUAGAGUAAUUAUUGCAUAUAUUAUUUUAAAUAAUUUGCUAUUCAAACGUACUAAUUGGGGGAGUGAAUGGAAUUGAAUGGUGCUCGAGGAAGGAGUGUAAGUGAAAGAUCAGUGUUCGAAUUAUCCCGCUUACACUUAAAAGAAAAAGAUGGAUUAACCGCACCCAAUUAUGUCCAACCCCAAGUCCCAACCAUAUAUAUUUGUCCCAGUUUCAAUAAUCAACAGGCACUCCAAUCAUUUUAGUGUCUCAAAGUACUUCGAGAAAAUCUCGAGCGUUCACCGCUCCAUGCUUGACUGCCAUAACUCUAGCUAAGAGACUGUCAUGUUCAUAUUCCUUUCCGUUGUUCAACAAUGAUUACUACUACUCAAUUUCAUCCCAAAAUUAAGCUAAAAAAGUGGCUAUGCACUGCAUUUCUUCGUCAUAAAGUAGUCCCUCGCAUGAGAUACUCAAUACCAACACCAAUGAAGCACGCUUUUUGUUCAUGCAUCAAAAGGCGAAGAUGGAGUUUGACUUCCUGCUAUCAUUCGUCAUUCAGUAGUCGAAUUUUUCCUCCAGGAAAAAAAAAAGGCUAUAUUUUGCAAUUGUUUCCCUAGAUUUGACUGGGCAUUCAUGGCUUGCACAUUAAAAUGUACCCUACAGAAACUGUUUUUGGGGUUUUCUCACGGUCUAUGCGUCCUGCAAUCCGCAAUACAUAAUGUUGUGCUGUAUUUGUUCGUAAUUGACUUUUCUUCCUGGUUGGUGCAUGCAAUAAGCAUGAAAAGAAGAACAAACAGGCCCUAAUCAAGCACACCUGAACUUGGUUAAAUUCUGGCUAGCUGCGAAGCAGAAAUGGAACUUGGACUAGGUUAAUGAGAACUAAGGUUAAAUAGAAAUUAUACAUACUAAUACCUGGGAAUAGAAGGUAAUUUAGCAGCGUAAGCUGGCAUCAAACAAGUAGCUACUAGCUAGUGACACUAUUUAAACCUCGGUUCAAAGGGUGAUAUAGCUACGCCAACUAGCCAGCUCAAACUCGAAGGUUGUUUGUAUUUCUUGAAUUAACACCACCACCACCACGACGACGACGAUGACGAUUGGAACUCCGCUGAUCAUCACUAGCACAAAACAUCGCCUCCCAAAUCUCAGCAAACACCUCAAUGAUCAGCCCAUGAUAAUGCCUCGAAUUCAACGACAAAAAACACUGCAGCAGCUGCUCCAAAUCUCUCUCCUCAAACAUCUGCUUCUCCAAUAUCAUCUCCAUCAUUGACCUCUUAAAAUCCUCGUAAGGGUCCUCACUCUUCUUCACGAUUGCAAAGCUCUCCUUCACCUUCCCAUCCACGCUGCAUGGUAUCAGCUUUUUGAACACCGACAACCUCGCCGGUGACUCGUUCUCAGCCGCUGACGACACCGAAGACGGCCUGUAAAUGGUCGUCGACCUCGAUACUCCGCGUUUCGUCGAGUGCUUUUUAUUCUUUUUCUUGCUAGUCCGCUUGUGACGCCUUGUAAUGGGCAAAGGGGUCUCGCGAAUGGUUUCGAGAUUUGGGUUGAAUUCCGAGGAGGAGUCAUCGGAAGAGGAACUUCUCCAAGAAGAUAUCAGGGUUUCAGUCUCUAUCAUGCUCUCUUCUUCUUCUUCGUCUAAUAUUACUUCACCACCUUCGCUGCUGAAAAGCCCGCUUUCAGCUGAGGAGGUGCUCGCGCGGAGUCUAGCUGGAGGAGCUCUUUUCUUCUUCCCUCGUCGUUUCUUUUUAGAUGGCGGAGGUGGCGGUGGUAAGGCUAAUAUUUUCUUGUCUUGGUCGGAGUCGCCGGAAGCGCAGGAGUUGUAUAUCUUUCGACGAGGGGUCUGAUGUUUGUCGUCGUAGAUCUUAGCUACAACGUGCCAUUUCUCUUCUUGCUCCCAGCUGAAUUCUUGUUGCGACGAUGAUCUGGCGCGGCCGUCGUCGGAGUGUUUAAUUGCAGCGGGCUUCAUUGAGGCGAAGCCACAGCCGAUGGAUGAGAAAGCGGAGGACACGUGGCGUGUGACGGACGAUGAGCCGGAGCUCUUAGGAGGGUUUGUGUAAUGAUCAAUGGUGAGGAAGUUGGGGUUGACUGGGGAAAGUCGGAAGAAUGUAGGGACAGGAUCAUGUGGGAGAGUGGAGGCGUCUUUAGAGCGACAAGAGUGGAAGGUUGUGGUGACGAGUUUGGAGACACGAAGCUUAAAGCUCUUGCUGGCCAUGGAUGGAAAUUGGGUUGGGGGUGGGAGGCGUGGGGGAUGGUGGAGAUUAGUCGUCUGGAAGCCGUGAGUUGAGAAAUGCCUGCGAAAGUGUCAAAGUGUGAACUGUUUGAAGACGAAGAUGGUGUUUAUAUAGGGAGUAUGGAGCGUGUUUUAGUUGCAAAUAUAUAAAAAAAUUAAAAAAAAUAAAUAAACAUAGAAGUUACAGGGAUUUGCUGAGAACAUGAUUGCAUGAUUGAGAAACAAACCAUUGUUUUAAAAUGCUUUUUCUUUUUUUUUUCUUUUUUUGCUGAGAACAUGAAUUUAUUGGUUUGAUUUUUUUUAUUUAUUAUUAUGCUUACUAUACGCCAGUGCACCCUGGAUCAAUAAAGAAUUUUAUUUUUGGCAGAGAAUAAUACCAGCAGCAUACGUUUUUGUUGGAUUACUAAAAGCAAAAUAAUCCAUCACCUUCGCUAUACAAUAUACAUCGCUCGCGCCUAUUUCAGUAUUCACUGGUCUCGCCGCUGAGCGGAGGCGAAAUCAACUUCGUUGUUUGUCACACAUAGAUUCUUCCUUUUGUUGGUAAGUGACUAAGUGAGCAAUCUGCCACUGCGCGCACGCUUGACUAGCCUAUUAAUGUGAUUUCAUGUAAAUCAUAAAAUACGGCCGCGAAAUUGUUCGCAUUCUAUUUAGAUAUGUGGAAAAAAGUCCAUAGUACUUAUGGGGUCUAAUAGAAACUUUUUCAAUAAAAAAAAAUUGGCCUUUUUUUGGUGAAAAUAGAUUGUGCUAAUUUGAAUUCAAAAUUUAUAUCAUUAUGAAUGGUCUUAAAUUUUUUGACAUUUUUUGUUCACUUUGAUGGCAUUUUUUUUUCUUCUUAAUUUGUAGAGAGGAUGUUUUUAUCUAUUUUUAUCAUAUAAGAGGAGAUGAAAGAUUUGUUUUAAUUGUGUUAAGAAAAUACUUUUACCUUUUUGGCACGCUACACUUCAAAGUUGAUUGAGGUGCCAAUUUUAGAGGGGAUGGGGGUUGGGUUGAGUUGGGUGAUGAGAUGGGAAAUAUUAUAAGUAAGAAAUCCUAAAUUCAAGAUUUUUCACUUACAAAAAAAAAUGUACAAUUUUAGAAAAUACUAACAUAUCAAUAAUUAGGAUAGUGGUAUCAAACAAUUCAACUAAUUAAUAUUUGUAAUUACUUUUUUUAAACAUCUCUUAGUGUUAACAAGCUUUUAUAAUGACAAAAUUUUCUAUCUAACUUCUAUGGGCUUUUUUGUCAUCUUAAUGUUAGGGGUGUGGAUUUAGCCCCACCCAAUAUUAAAAGCGUUCAGUUGGGCCAUUCUAUCUAUUUUUUAGGGGCAUUUUUGCCAAUUUGUUAAGCAAAAAAUAGUAUACCAUUUUAAAUGAAACUUUAGAAAAGUUUAUUGAUCAUUUGUAUACAUUUUGAACUUGUUUUUGAAAUUGAAGAACAAUAAAUAGAAAAAUGAUUUUCUCAACAAAAAGAGUUAUAGCACAAGUUAUCAUUGCAUUCCUAAAUCUUGUGAAAAUAUAAUAGAAAUAUUUUAGCAAGAAAAUGAUUGGAUUGACAUCAAAAAAAUAGAAAGAAAAAGUUCAAAAAGAAACACGAGAAAACAUUUGGGAAAAUGUUGCACUUGUGAAUGGAAAAAGAAAAAUAAUAGAAAAAUGUCUUAUUAGAAAAGGAAAUAUUUCCUUAGAGCUCAUAGUUUUUUUUUUUUUUUUUAAAUAUAGUUUUUAGGUCAAGUUAUUUUCUUGCUAAUCCCGUGUUAUAGCUUGUUACUAAGAAAUUUCUUUGUCCUUAUAUUCUGCUUUAGUUUCAAAAUUAUUCUCCAAAAAAGCGUGCCAAAGGUCACUAACUUCUGAUCUAAAAUUUUAUUUGUUUUUAACUUAUCAUACUAUUUUUUUUUUGUCUAUAGAGUGACAAAAAUACCCUUGCACUUGACCAAUAAAAUACACACAAUGAUCCUAUUAAAUACCUUUUAAGAGUAUAAUGGAUCAUUGGACAUAAAAAAUAGUAUAAUGAAUUAAACAAAAUUUUUAAAAAGUUUGGUGACUAUCGAUGCACUUUAUAGCAUUAAAUAUACAUUUUUCUUUUAAGGAUCCUUAAACAUACCUUUGGAGGCAAAAAUUGAAUAAAAAAAAAACAACAACAAGACUUGCUGUCUACAGCCGAUUGGCGACUCUCCUUGCAAGAAUAUCUGUCAUAUCCCAAAGACAGGUGAAAUCUGAAGGGGACGAGGUAAUUCUCAAGAAGCUGGUUGGAGAUUACAUUGUGGAAGUCGAAUGUUGUUGCCUUCUGGCCUAAAAGAAUUUAUUCUUUUGAACCAUAAUUGUGGAGAAAAGUCGAUAAAGAGGCGACAAAACACCCAAGCGGAGGCGCGUGUGCUGGUACGGCAGUGAGUAGCAAAUAGCAAUCAACCGGCCAAGUCUUCUCCACACUCUGAUGUCCAAAAGCACAAGACUCUGUAAAAGGAUAACAUCACAUUAUAUAUUCAACUUUACAACAGCGUCCUAAUUCACCCCAAUGUUCAAAUUUUGAAUUCCUAGACUUCAUUGCAUCACGCAAAGGUGUGAGGCUGGACUGACUGCUUGACAAUUAAAAAUGCAGAACACCAGUUUCCUCUGUAAUUGAUCCCAACCCAACUGAUGCAGCAGCUUAGCUCUGAACCAUCAACUUUGAAAACUCAAAUAUAUAUAUGCAUAUAUAUAUAUAUAUGUGCAUAUUUUGCUUUUACUUCGAAGUUCAAAUUGGAUAUCCCAAGAUCGAGUUUUUGCUCGCCUUUGUAUAGUUUUUUUUAUCUCAAUAUAAUCAAAUUACAGUUUGCUCGCCCCUUUUCUUCUUCUUUUUUCUAAGGCAUCAAGUCUUUCUUUAAAAAAAAAAAAAAAAAAAAUUGGCCGACGACUUAAAAGUAAACAAAAACGGAUUUCCUGUUCUUCACUUCUUCUGAUGUUGCUGUCUUUCUUCUAAUACCUCCGAAGCAACAGCUGCUUCGUGGCAGUCGGCAGAUGAAUUGAAAAUUUACGUGCAGACCAAUUCUUUACACACAAAGACCUUUUUUUUUUUUUUUUGGUCGACAUAGGGGUGUCCGGGUCAAUUCUUACGGGGCUCGACUAAUUUCUUACGGCUCGGAAAAGGAGGCCCCACUCCACUUCGGACACGGUAACUCCAGGUAGAUUCGAACCUUGGUUGUCUAAGGCCAGACAACGCCCCUAAAGAGGAAAGCAUGACCGAUUGAGCUGCCUAGGGGGCAACUUUACACACAAGGACUUGGUAAUCCAAAUUAAUAUACCAUUCUAUUGUAAGUUUUGUAAAAUUUGCUUUAUAUUAUUGAGAAUUUCCUUGAUUCAACAGAAUACUAUGUCGAAUGAUAGUAUAAUACUCAACAUUUUGCUCCUCAAUAUGGUAGACAUGUUCAGAACUUGACGUAAGUGCAAGAAUGCAAUGGGUGGUUUUUUUUUUUUUUUUUUUUUUUAGUUUUUAAAACGCGUGAGGGAAAAGAAUUGCAGCUGUCCAACAUACUGUCAAAGAUGAGGAUGAUAUGCUGGAGAAAUAAUUAAACCUAUGAUUGUUUAUUUGCUUUUCCAUUUUUUUUUUGGUCUCCCCCUUUCAGAGAGACUAAUAAAGCAGAGUUGGAUGGUGAAAAGCUAAAAAAAGCAACCUUUUGUUUCUACCAUCUAUUAAUCAUCGUCAUCUUAUCAAAUGCAGCUCCCCGUCCCCGUCCCCGGCGCCGCUGCGACUGUUUUGUUCUUGGAAUGAUUUUUUUUAAUUAUUAUUAACGUACCCGAAAUUAAUCUCACGCUUAUCAGAGAAAAACAGAAACAAAAUGACUAUAUCGGGAUGCAUGGCCUUGCAUAUAAAGCAAUUUCCAACUAUUGAAGACUGAACUUUUUGGUACCGUACCUGGCUAAGGUAAUACUAAAAAUUAUGAAUCGGACGCGAGGAAAGCAGCUAGACUUUUGUGGACGGAGAAUGUAGAUGUAGAGCUUUUCCCUCUGGAGACCCACAGAAAACGGAAGUCAUUUGUAGAAGCAAUCUCAAAAGGUUGGGGUUGGGAUCCUAGGGAACAAAAUCAUCCAAGCACAAACUUAUCCUUCCCUUUUCUAUCUUCUUUUUAUUUCGGAUAAAUAAAUAAGUAAACGUUAUGAAGUUGGCUUUUGGAGGUAGGAAAUUCAUUUCUCGCCUGUUGUGAUGGUACAUGAUUUAACACCUAAUCUUUUGGACAAUAUUUUGAGACAUUUAAAAAUAAAAAGUACAACACUUUCAAUGGAGUUGAGAAAGCACUAGUUAAAAACAUUUAAAAAAACCUGCUAGUUGGGGGGUUCUCCUCGCUGAGAUUCAGGUUUCGAAUCGAGAGUCCUCUCCAUCGAGGUUCAGGAUUCAGAUCUCGUAUCUCCCAGUUAGAGUUUGAAAAAAGUAAGAGGAGAAAAAAAAAACUAAAAAUCAAAGAAGUAAAAAUCUAAACCUGAGAGCGGGGCAGCAGAACUAAAGACGAUCCAAUUGGCUAACUUGCCUGACAACUGAGUUGGGUUUUGAGUACGUUAAUACGCACGUUUUGGUCGCAUAUCCAUGCAAGGGCAAACUUGGGGCUGUAAUCAGCAAUCGCCACCGAAGUAAAACUUUGGGCCCAAGUUUCAGGUCCAGAAAGUCGGCAAGAGGCCUGUUUGUUGCUCUGCUAUGUCAUUAAUGCCCCAGUUGACCGCUCAAGGACUUGCCGUCCACGACAUUGUGGGUUUUCGGCGAUCCAGAAAUUGUCGUCUUGUUCUUGAGAAGCAGAUGAGAACAUAAAGAUGUGUGGAGGGAAACUGGCUUUUCUAUUAGAGAAUGUCAACACAAAAAGUUGAUUCUCCUUGAAGGGGCAAUCGAAGAAAAUCCCAAGAACUUAAUACAACAACUAUUUGGGACAUGGAUAGUAUUGAUCAUUGAAGCAGUUGAAGAUUAUGUACGGUUAUUGUGAAAUGUUGACAAGAUUUAUAUUUCGUUUGUGCCCAAUAAAAUUAAUUUAUGCUUAUCAGAAAAUAGAAAUUCCACCGUUACCAGGUUAACAAAUUUAGAUCAAUACUCAAGGAGUUCAUAACAAGUUGCAACAAAUUUAGACCACGUCUGAUGAGCUGAAGCCUUGUGGAAUAUCUCAAACUACAUUUACAGUCCGAGUCGAUUGUUUGUUUUUUUUUUUUUUUUUUAAAAAGUCAGACGCGGCUGGCCACGCAAUAACCAUACCCGGCGGCUUUGCCACCGGAACUUUCAAAGUGUGAAAGCCAGCCGUUAAUCCAAUUGCACCAAGAAAGCCAGCCGUUAAAAUGAUAUGAUGAUAUUUUUUUAUUAAACAAGUAGUCUCAAUUCUAGAUACUGGCUAGCUAGCUAGUAGCCGGAAUUGGAGCAGCGCUGCAUGGUUUAGAGUUAGACUCCUCUGGUCUUUUAGUUGUGACUGUGAAAGUCUCUGGAUCCCAUAAAACGACGUGACACGAGUCAACUAUGGCGUGGUGUCGGUAGCACCCAAGUUUUGUCGAUAUAUUUAAGGGUUAAAAACAAAAAAACCCCGUGCUAAAUCUAAUAUACAACUAAGCCCCCUAUGGUUUCAAAAUAUGCAACGCGAUAUCUCGUGCUUUGAACUAAGUUGUAACACUGACGAAAAUCGGUAAAAUUAACGGGAACUGAUGAAAGGACCAAAAUGCCCUUGUAUAAUACCCAAAAGGCAAUUGAGCGGACUCAUUUCUUCCCUUCAAACCCUACGAAGAGAGAGAGAGAGAGAGAGAUAGAGAGGAAGUAAAUCGAAGGAGACGAAGGAGACGGAAUCAAGUAAGAAAAUCGAAGAAGACGAAGAUUUAUUCCAGAAAAUCGAAGGCAAAUGGGUAUGUAUGCUAUACUUCGUUCAUGUUAUAAUUAAUUAAAAUCAGUUCAUGCAUGUUAUAAUUAGUUUACAAUUUAGGGUUACCCAUCUCAGAUUUUGAGGGCUGAUGAUGUUAUUUACACCCGUAUUUGGGUGUUUACCUUAGAAAAUUCUUGAUUUUAUGAGUUUUGAAACUGGUACUUUGGAUUUAAAAUGAAGAUUUUUGCUGUUUUGGGACUACGACUUUAGUUUUGAAGCCGAGAUUUUUUUAAAAAAUUUUGGGUGUUAGAACUAGGAGUCAUGCAAAUAAUUUCUGAAAUGUCCAUUUCUACUGGGAGAUUUUUGCUGAUUUGGGACUGCAAGUUUGGAUUUAAAGUUGAGAUUUGGGUGUUGACUAGGUGACGCAAAUAAUUUCUGAAAUUUCCAUUUGUGAUGGGAAAUUUUUGCUGAUUAGGGGUGUUGAGUAGGAUCUGUUUCUGUUUGUGUGUGUUUGUGUGUUUAAGUAUAACUCAGUCACUUGCUAUUACAACAAGAUAUUUAACAAAGAAUUGUAAGUAAAAUUUCUAUAAUUGUUACUGUCUUCUCUGGUUUAGUGGUCCAGAAUGCUAUUAAAAUUGAUUUUCUGUUUGUGCUUUUAUGUUUAUUUGGUUUUCUGUAUAUCAAUGAUGGAGACAUAGUAGUUGGGAGACUAAAGCAUAUUUAUUAUAUUUCUUGAAACAUUCAACAGAAGAAGACAAGUCAGAGGAGACAGUAGAUAUACAUAUGUAUUUUGAUGGAAAAUUUAGAGAAUAUCCUGUCCUCCACUACACAGGAACCCGUAUGGCUAUCUUUAAAAAUAGACUUGAGGACCACAUCUGCAUAGUUAGCCUUUGCAGAAUGUUUAAAAAAGUGGAUGAGGAUGCAACUAGAGUGACUUUCUGGUUUUGUGCUCCAGGAGUAGACUUAGAUGGUGGUCUACAUCCAAUUAGGGACCAUGAUGAUGUUAAAUUAAUGAAUAAAGCACAUUGGGGUUUGGCAACAAGGAUAAUAUAUGCCUGUAGUGGGGAUGAUUCUUUUGAAAAGUCACUAGAACAUGGUGGGGACAAUGUGUUGGAGCCAAAUUCGACAAUGGAUGCAUCAACAAUAAUUAAAAAUACAGAUGGGGUACAUAACACCAAAAUAGACAGCAGAGAUGGUGGGGUACAAAAAAAAGAUGAUGGGGUUAGUAAUUGCAAUCCAAAUAAGCCAUUUAACACUGAUGAUGAUGAUGAUGAGCCUGAAUGGUUGAAGGAGGGGUUGGAAAAAAAAGAGGAUGAGAACAUUUUCGCAAGUAAAAAAGAUGUGGACAGAAGUAGUAAACCAGAAGGUGGGUCCAUACUACAUUCCACUCAUUUUAAGCCUUAUCACGUGUUCUCUUUCCCUGAGAAGGUGGCUAUCAAGAGCCUUGCCAAAAGUGAAACUAGUAAGGAAAAAAAGUCUAGUAAAAAUAAGAAGCAGUCUGCAGGGCCAGAUAGCAUUGGAGAAAUUCCACCUCAUAUCUCAUUUCAGAAUUCAUCUCAAGCUGCAUCUCAAGCUGCUGACUAACACCCAUCUCAGAUCCCAUCACAAGCUGAAGCAGAGAACAGUAAAAAGGCUGAGGAAAGUUCAACAGAAGAAGGAGCACCACAUACACUCGAAGAGGAUUGGCAAGAACCAGUAAUUUCUGAUGAAGAGUUGCUGGACAAGUGCGGAUCUAAUGAUGAAGGCCAUGAAGAAUGUCAUGACUUUAACCCUGAAGUGGAGUUUCUCAAGCCACAUUUUGAGUUGAAGGUUGGGCAAAAGUUUUCCAAUUUCAGAGUUUUUAGAUAUGUGUUUGAUCGAAUGGUUGGUAAGAGAGGGAUAUGAGGUUGAUUGGGUAAAAAAUUACUCGAAAAAAAUUAUUGCGAAGUGUGCAAAGGGCUGUUCUUGGAGGAUUCGUGCAACACCAGUCCAAGGUGAAACUACUUUUCAAAUUAAAUUAUUGAAGGGCCAGCAUGUUUAUGCUAGAGAUUACAACAACAAGCAUGCAACAGCCAAAUAUUUGAGCGUGAAGUACCAAGACAAGAUAAGAGGUGACCCGCAGUGUGCUGCAAUAGGAUUUCAGAAUGAUAUUAGAAGAGAUCUAAUGAUUAACGUGUCCGUUGCCAAGAUACGCAGAGCAAAGAGAUGUGCAAAAGAUGAGAUGCUUGGCACGGAUAUGGAGCAAUAUCACCACCUUUGGAGUUAUGCAGCUACAAUUAGAGAGACAAAUCCUGGUAGCACUGUCAAGAUUAAGCUUGAUACAGCAGAAGAAGAUUCACAAGGGACAUUUCAAAGACUGUAUUACUGUCUUUAUACUUGCAAACAGGGGUUCCUCGAUGGCUGUCGACCAAUAAUUAGUCUUGAUGGGUGUUUUUUGAAAUCUGCAUUUGGUGGUCAGUUGUUGUCAGCAAUUGGUAGAGAUGGCAAUGACAAUAUGGUUCCAAUAGCUGUAGCAGUGGUAGAGGUAGAGAGGUAUGACUCAUGGAAGUGGUUUCUGGAACAACUAAUGGCUGAUCUGGGACUUGGUGUGGAAAACAUACCCUGGACAUUCAUCUCAGAUCGACAAAAAGGACUGGUCCAUGCAGUGAAUGAGUUAUUUUCAAAUUCUGAACACAGGUUUUGCUUGAGGCAUAUGUACCAAAAUUUCAAACAGAAGUUCAAAGGAAAAGAGUUGAAGGACUUGUUCUGGGCAGCAGCAAGUGUUGGGAAUGAAGUGGACUGGAAAUUAGCAAUGAAUUCCCUUGAAAAAGCUUUAAAUGAUGCAGCUGAAUGGCUGCAAAAAGUGCCAAGUGUUUUAUGGAGCAGGUCACAUUUUAGACAAAGUAGCAAAUGUGAUAUUCUUGUGAACAAUUUUUGUGAGUCAUUUAAUAACUAUAUCUUAGAAGCUAGAGAGCUACCUGUCAUAGGGAUGCUUGAGCAGAUUCGAAGAAGGCUCAUGCAAAGGAUUCAAGAGAAGAGGACUGGUAUGCAGAAAUUUCAAGGAAAAAUAUGUCCUAACAUUGCAGAGAAGAUUGAUAGGAAUCUGAAAUUCAGUAGGCUGUGUAUUCCCACAUGGGAUGGCAAGAACAAAUAUGAAAUUGAUUGUGGGCCCAGAAAAUCUGUUGUGGUGGAUCUGAAUGAAAAGACUUGCACAUGUGGCUAUUUCCAGCUUACAAGUUAUCCUUGUGCUCAUGCAUGUGCUGCAAUAGGAGCACGUAGAUUGCCUUUGCUUGAUUGUGUGCAUGCCUGCUAUAGUAGAGAAAAUUACUUGAUAACAUAUGAGCACACUAUCACACCUGUCCCAAGUAAUAAGUAUUGGGUGAGAUGUGAAGAACAACCCCCAAAACCUCUUGCAGUUCGAAGAAUGCCUGGCAGACCCAAAAAGAUCCGGCAAAGGGCAGCCGACGAGCCUAAAAAGGGUCAAGUCUCAACCAGAAAGGGUCUUGUGGUAACUUGCAAGAGAUGUUUUCAGCCAAGACACAAUUCAAGGACCUGCAAGAAUG
RNAcentral lists this long non-coding RNA (76181 nucleotides) under Coffea arabica (coffee). RNAcentral's name for it is "long non-coding RNA (CARA_LNC004893)". The record is from RNAcentral. Lineage: Eukaryota; Viridiplantae; Streptophyta; Magnoliopsida; Gentianales; Rubiaceae.